Molecule: long non-coding RNA, 86400 nt
Filed under: Triticum aestivum (bread wheat)
Lineage: Eukaryota; Viridiplantae; Streptophyta; Magnoliopsida; Poales; Poaceae
Description: long non-coding RNA (TAES_LNC016407)
Source: RNAcentral
UCAUCUAUAUAUGAGUAUAUUGACUUAGGAGUCAAAUGAGAACAUUUGAUCAUAGGUCAUACUCAUCGUCUAAGCUCAAGUGGGGUUACCACUUUUACAUAAUGCAUUGAUGUGUUCACACCAUUAGAGUUGCUUUGACUCAAUUCUUAGAGUAAAGCUCCCCCUAGAUGUGAGAUCCCCCCUUAGAGGGAUGAACUAACCUUGGGUUUUGUCGAUGAUGACUUCAUGUAGGUGUUGAAGAUGUGGAUGCUCAAUGUUGAUGUAGAUCAUUUGGAGCAAUCCUUUGGAGUGAGUUGCACUUUCAAUACCUACACGGGUUAGUCCCACAAGGAACAAACAAGGAUAUCCAUAGACAUAGAGUGAUGCACACACAAGAUGAUGUCUAUGAGAGCAUUAGGUUACCUUGUCCCUUGUCUUACCAACAAGAGGGUUUGUGACUCCUUGAACUAGUGCAAGAUGUGGAAGUUGAUUGCACUUGUUAUUGCCAAAAUGAUAUGAGUGAAAUAUGUUGGCGGAGUCACCCUCAAGAACUCUCUAGUUCUUCUUCUUCGGGACCCACAUCAUCUUGAUGGGAAUCCUUGGAGUUGUAAUUGUACUUGAUGAAGUAGAGCUUGACAUAGUCUUGGGAAUCCACUUGACCAAGGCCUUAGGAGCUUCUUUAAAUGCACCAAUCUCCUCUUGAAGCUUGUCCUUGCCUUUUUGCUUGUGGUCUUGUGGUGGAAGAUCAUCUUGGGCUUGUGUCCCUUUGAAGGAAGUAGGAUCAUACUUCUCUUGUUGAGGAACAAACUUCACCUUGGGGUAUUGAUCUUCUUCCCACUCAACUCCAUUGGCAUUGAACUUUCGUUCAAAACCAACACCUUGGUUCUUCCGGUGCCUUCCUUGCUUGCGUACAAUUUCCUCAAAUUGCUUACUCCCGGCAAGGCUCUUGUAAACACCUUUCUCUAUAAUUCCCUUCAAUAAGCUAUUUUCUUGCUCAAGUUUAACUUGGCUAAGAGAAUCAUUAGUGGAAUCAAGAGAACUACUAGAAGCAACAACAUUGGAUUUAGCAUGAUUAUUGUUACUACUAGAGGAAGAAUCCUUCUUGUUCUUGUUACUAGACUUGACUUGAGACAUGUAAGUAGAUAAGAGUAAACGCUUGGCAAUGUAAGAAGAAAUUUUCUUAUGAAGAUCAUCAUUGAUUGCCUUUAAGAACUCAUGCUCUUGCUCAAGGUUGAGCUUUUCAAAGCGUAACUUCUCAUGAGUCCUUAAAAGUUCUCGAUGAUCUUCUAAGAUAGUUUCAUGAGCUAACUUAAGAGUGUUUAGUUCUUUAGUUAGAAGCUCAAUAUUCUCCUUAUCAUUGCCAUUCGUUUUAUCUUGAUUAGCAUGAUUAAUUGACGUUUCAUCAUAGUAUUCAUCACUAGAGUUAUCAACAAGUAAAUCAUCAUCACCUAACAAGUCAUCUUCAUCACUAUUGAAAUCAACAUACUCGGGGUGUGUUACCUUUGGGCCUUUAGCCAUGAAGCAUCUUCCAAGUCCUUCAUUUGGUGAAUCAAAUAUGUCGUAGGAGUUGGUUGACACAAGUGCUAGACCGACAACACCUUCAUCUUGAGUAUAUUCGGAGUCGGAGUGAUAGCUUCUCUCAGAGUGAUUGUCGGAGUUAGAGCCGGAUACCCAUUCACCAACAUGAGCUUGAUGUCUUCAUUUUGUGUAGCUCCUUGAUGACUUGUCCUUCCUUUCAGAAUCCUUGCUUCUCCGAGAUGUUCUUCAUUCAUAACAAUCAUCUCUACUCCUCCUCUCUCUUGGUGGUGAUUCUUCUCUUCUACUUUUCCUCUUAGGUGAUUCUUCUCUUCUUUUGUAGGGUGCCGUACACUCAUUGGAAUAGUGUCCGGGUCUUCCACAAUUAUAGCAAUUACGCUCUCGACUAGAAGAUCUUUUGUCAUUGUAGGACCUUGACUUGGAGCUUUUCUCUUUGCUUCUACUCUUGUAGAACUUGUUGAAGUUCUUCACCAUUAAGCUCAAUUCAUCAUUGAAGGUUUGUUUCUCACUUGAUGAUGUGGGGGAUUCACAUGAGUCUUUGUAAGCACCACUUGACUUGUUGUGAAGUUCCUCCUUAUCCUUGAGUGACAUCUCAUGAGCAACAAUUCUUCCAAUGACUUCCGUUGGCUUGAGAUCUUUGUAAUUUGGCAUAAUUUGUAUCAAUGUGCACACUGUCAGGACCCCGACUCAAUGCCACAUCGAUCUAGCAUGUAACACCUUAUAUCACUUUGCAGCCUCACGCACGGUAUUCCCACGGGUGUCGCAUUACCUUUGCCCGGGACCGUUUGCGCCUUUUGGCACACGUAUAUGAUAGUGUCGCUAGCAUCCAUAUGAUAAGGAGCCCGGGCUGACAUGGCUAGUCAUAAACCCAAAGUGGCACAGACUUACAGGGACAGGCAUCCAUGACCCAGCAUCGAACGUGUUAGUCAUCAGCAAGUGAAUCCGGGCUGUAGCACUGGGCUAGCAGGACUCCGGUAAACCGGGCUGUAGCGGGCUAACAGGACUCCGGUAUUCAUCGCGUGACAUUUCCCCGAAGGGACAGACACAAGAACGAAGAAGGACACAUGCCGGCCAGCCUAAGUGUUCCGGAGCAGUAGCAAGCUACCAUGGCUCAGUGGAAGCACUAGGAGACAUUUCCCUGUAAGAGAGGCUACUAAGAACAAACAACUGGAUAGUCAGAUCCCACACAUACCAAGCAUUUCAAAAACAUACACACAAUAUGCUCGAUAUGUGCAAACACAACAUGGCAUCACAACAUGACUCUACAACUCAAGUAUUUUAUUCAAUAGGCUCCGAGGAGUGAGAUAUUAUAAACAUGGGUCUCUCGACCCAGCAUUCAGAGCAUACAAGUCAAAGUACAAGCGGAAGCUUAACAUGUCUGAGUACAGACAUCUACAAAUGAAAAAGGCUAAGAAGUCUGACUAUCUACUAGAUCCUGCCGAGGGCACAAGAUCGUAGCUGAGGUAACAAGCUAAACGUUGAAGUCCACGCGGAACUACUAGUGAGACAGAAGUCUCUCUGCAAAAAAACAUAAAAUAGGCAAACGUGAGUACAAAUGUACCCAGCAAGACUUACAUCAGAACUAACUACAUAUGCAUCAUUAUCAACAGAGGGGAUGGUGGGGUUUAACUGCAGCAAGCCAGCUUUGACUCGGUGGCUAUCCUAAACUACGACUGCAAGUAACUCUUUUGAGGUGGCGCACACGAGUCCACAUAUUCACCACAUCAAUACACCACUAUGGAUCUGCUCCCGUCUCCCUACGAGAACGCCAUCCAUAGCACUCACGCUUAUCUUGCGUAUUUUAGAGUAUCCACUUUCACUUGUCUAUGAACUGUUAUAGGCAACCCAGAAGUCCUUUACCGUGGACACGGCUAUUCGAAUAGAUGAUGUUAACCCUGCAGGGGUGUACUUCUUCAUACAUGUUUCCACCACUUAGCGUCUGCACACGACAUGUGCUCGGCAGACUUCAAGCGAAAGCCGACAUGGGUGUAGACCACGACCUACCUAAACACUCAAGUCUCUAGUCCAGGUUUAUCGCCUAUUCAGGUUCCAUCCGCAGGGAGUCCGGCCGAGGUUUCCACAUACGGCCCCAAACGAUGUGAAUAGGGUUCCGAGACACCUAACGGGUGCCCGGUGUACCCGGCCACGUACCUACCGCAUCACAGCCCACCCCACGGUCAGCGCUGUCAAUGGCAUUCAGUAGGCUACAAACACCAGAAACUACUUGCAACUCCUGGACAGAGGACAAGGGUAAUUAAGAAGUCGAGCGGGGUCAUAUUUCAGGGCCCAAUGUAUGGUAGUAGCUAAAUCAUGGAUCACAAACACAUAACUCAGUUCCUGAGGACGGCUUCAAUGAGACAACCCACCAUGUACUCCUACAUGGCCUCUCACCGAUACCUUUACCAAAUCGUGUUCACACACUUAGCUCACACCCAGUAGGACAUGUUCACACACCUCUGAUUCAUCCCGGAUGAAUCAGACCUGACACAACUCUAAGCAAUAGCAAGCAUGAAAAACAAGCAUGAAUGAGUAGGCAAAUCAGGGCUCAAACAACUCCUACUCAUGCUAGUGGGUUCCAUCUAUUUACUGUGGCAAUGACAGGUCAUGCAGAGGAUAAAGGGGUUCAGCUACCGCAGCAAGUAGCAUAUGAAUCGUUGUUGUCCUAAUGCAGUAAAAGAGAGCAGGAGCGAGAGAGUAGGAUUGUAUCGGAAUGAACAAGGGGGUUUUGCUUGCCUGGCACUUUUGAAGAUAGUAUAGCUCUUCAUUGGUGUCAUUGAUCACAUCGUCGGAACCACGUUUAUCGAGAGGGGACAAACACCGGCAAACAAGGAAGAAACACGAUCAAUGCAAUGCACAAUAUGAUGCAUGCUCAUGACAUGGUAAUAUGCUGUGAUUGGAGCUAAUGCAUCUAGCAGUAGGUUAAAUGGAGUUGGUUUGAAUCCAAGAUUCAAAUUCAAACUCCACAUGUGGUUAUUUAAAUGCCAUUCAUACCAUUUGUCCUAAACAGUAGUCAUAAGUUGUUCUAACAUGCAUGAAACCAGUACAGAUGGAUAGAUUGGAUUUUCUGAUCAUUUUUCAUAUAUAACUUAUUUCAUUUGGAGUUACGGUUGAAUUUCUAUGAUUUUUAGAAGUUUAGGACAUUUUCUGAAAAUAAUAAAUCAUUUAGAUUUAUUUAAAAUCAAGAAAAGGGUUUAUUUCGUCAGCACUUCGUCAGGGUGACGUCAGAGGUCAACGGGGACGUCCAGGUCAAACUGACUAGUGGGUCCCGUGUGUCAGCAAUUAAUUAAACUAACUAAUUUUAGUUAAACUAAUCUGGUUAGUUAGCAGGGGGCCGCUUGUCGUUGACUUAGGGGAGUCAACUUGGGCCCACCCAGUCAACGUCAACGGUCAAACCCGCCGGUCAGCGGGUCAAAGCCUGCCGGCGUUUAGCCGCCGGCGAGGCCAGACGCGGCGGCGUGCUGCGGGAUUUGCCCACAGGGCUCCAUUUGCUACGCGGAGAGCAGCUACGGGCAGCUAUUGCUCGCCCGCAUCCAGCCGUGGUGAUGGCUUGGCCGGGAAGUGGCCGGAGCAUCGUCGGCGACGAGUUUGGUGUAGGCCGAAGCUCGGGCACGCUCGUGCGCGUGGCUGCAGUGGCCUAGGCGGUGUGGCGCUAGCACCUACAGCCUCUACGCGGCGCGUGGCGUGUGACGGGCACAAGCCCAUGACCAAAUGGUCACCGGAGCAGCGCCGGCGACGUGGUCAGGCGGCAGCGCGUUUGGGCACAAGAGACGCGGCGUUUACGGUAUUCUAGGGGCGAAACAGAAUGCACGGGGAGGUUCAACAGCUCACAGAGAAGCCGCGGGGAUGGUCAGCGUGCUCGGGGAAGGCCCGGUGCGGUCGGAACGGCGACGGCGAUCUGGGGCGGCCCGAGGUUGAAGACGAUGGCGGCGGGGAUGAUGCAGGGGCUCCGGCGUCGUGCGGCUUGGCUAGUCGACGUAGUCGACGACGACGAACCGUCCGGACACGGUGAGAGGGCGCGGGGACGGCGUUGGACGCGGCUGCGGCGAGCGGCGAAGACGGUGACGUUUCGGGCGACAUUGGGGAGGGCGAGGGAGAGGAGCCAGAGGGGAGGGCGAGUGUCUGCGAGGUCAGGGAGAGAGAGAGGGUUCAUCCCACGUUGACAGCUCGACGAGGGGAGCGGCAAGGCGGCGGGCAGCUGCGUUGCACGCAUGCUGUGCUCACCGUCGAGAAGCUGCUUGCCUGCCUGGCCAAGCCAAGCAGCUCACUGGAGCGGUGGCUGGGCUGGGCCGGCAGGUGGGUCACCAGGUGGGCUGGAAGGCCAGGUAAGUGGCCCAGGUAGGCUCUCUCUCUCUCUCUCUUUUCUAAAUUGUUUUCUGUUUUCUAUUUUUCUGUAACUUCUGGGCUUUAUUAAAAAUGUCAGGGCAUUACCAAAAAUAAUGAAACUAAUCAUGACUACUGUUUGGAAUAUAUCCAACAGUAAACAUUUUCGUUUAUGAUUAUUUGACCAUUUAAAAUAUUUAAUAGCAUUUUAAUGCCCAAAUGCAAAUACUAUAAGAUUUAAUUGAGAACCCAAAUGAGUCAUGGAAAAAAUGUGCAACACCCCUGGUUAUGUCUCCAGCAUUUCCAGAAAUGAUGAACAUUUUUUAAAGCCAUUUGGACUCAUUGAAAAUAUUUUAGUUGAACCUAGUUGAAUUCAUUUGGUGCUAGGGUUUAGUCAAUCCCCAUUUCAAGUUGAAGUAAAAUUUAAACAUGAUGCAACAACCAGGACUAGCCCACAAGCAAAGCUAAAGCUAGGGCUGUGACAGCUCACCCCACUAAACAAGAAUCUCGUCCCGAGAUUCAAGACGUGAGGUAAGAAGACAAAGGGGACACUAAGUAUCACAAACUUCAUGAUCCAACUGUCUUCUCGAGGGUGUUGAUCUGUUGACUCAAUCGAUCUUGACGUCUUUGCUUGCGAGGUCUUCAUCCAACACGAUAACAACAGAAGGAGACUCUCCAGAAAACGAUCUCCUCGAAGAUCGAGUAUUCAAGAUCAACUCAUGGAGUGAGAGGUAAGAACAUCUCUCGAGCUGAGAUACGAAGCAUUCAUCCAAAGGGAUGGAGUGGAACAGAUGUCGAAGGUUCACUAGGUAGACAACAAUCCCACACUUAAGAGGGUGGUGAACGGUUGUCAACGUAGCGAAGAUUUGAGUUGCCAUGAUACCAUAUCGAGACACUUCAGGGAAGGUGACUCGUAGAAUAUCCCCUUAAGUGGCAAAAAUAAUUACCUUUGAUUCAGAGAUCAUUGAAACUCUUUAUACCAGCCUAAGGCAAAUCACAAUCGAUCAUUUGAAGGAGUCCGAAAGAAUGGCAUUCUUGGGCCAGAAUGGAUGAUGUGGACUACCUUGUUGAAGACAACGCAACGGAUGAUUUUUGGUUAUCAUCGAAAAUGGAUGGAACCCAUGGUGGAAUGGCACAAUGGUGAUGCAAGCUAGGAGCAAAAUGCAAAUGCCGGAAAUGAUUCUAGUAACUGGGGAGGAACUCAACAGUAGGAAAUAAUUCCACUGUUGGAGUGGUUAUAACACAACCGAAGAAAACUAGGAGCAAUCCCAAUUAGUGUCGAUGAUAACACCUAGUGCUUGUGAGUGCUCUCAAGAACUUGAGCAUUCCUAUAAUCAUCAAGGUUUUACCAACAUCUGUGUCAAGGGUGCUGACAAUACAACAUACUACCAUGAUGAAUAGUGAUGGACGAUGCAGAUGCAAAGGAAGAUAACACUUUCUUAGAUUUCACCUUAGCGAGGCCAAGGGGACAAAAUCUGGAUGAUCGACCGAGAGACAUUUAGCACUCCGCUUCUAAUGUUCUCCUUGAUGUGCUAGCGUAACCCAUUCAUUUAGAUGGUUUGGUACCCAGAACAUCAAGUAAAAGGUCGGACUUCGGAAACACAAAAAUUAUAAGGCACAACUAGGGAGUAAAUCCUACGAAGUCCUUAUGGGGAGGUGGCCAACUUCUUCAAUCAAGAUACUACAAUAAUAGGUCUUCGGGCGGGGUGUGUUGGCCGAAGCUCGGGCCAGCUCGUGCGCGUGGCUGCAGUGGCCUAGGCGGUGUGGCGCUAGCACCUACAGCCUCUACGCGGCGCGUGGCGUGUGACGGGCACAAGCCCAUGACGAAAUGGUCACCGGAGCAGCGCUGGCGACGUGGUCAGGCGGCAGCGCGUUCGGGCACAAGAGACGCGGCGUUUACGGUAUUCUAGGGGCGAAACAGAAUGCACGGGGAGGUUCAGCAGCUCACAGAGAAGCCGCGGGGAUGGUCAGCGUGCUCGGGGAAGGCCCGGUGCGGUCGGAACGGCGACGGUGAUCUGGGGCGGCCCGAGGUUGAAGACGAUGGUGGCGGGGAUGAUGCAGGGGCUCCGGCAUCGUGCGGCUUGGCUAGUCGACGUAGUCGACGACGACGAACAGUCCGGACACGGUGAGAGGGCGCGGGGACGGCGUUGGACGCGGCUGUGGCGAGCGGCAAAGACGGUGACGUUUCGGGCGACGUUGGGGAGGGCGAGGGAGAGGAGCCAGAGGGGAGGGCGAGUGUCUGCGAGGUCAGGGAGAGAGAGAGGGUUCGUCCCACGUUGACAGCUCGACGAGGGGAGCGGCAAGGCGGCGGGCAGCUGCGUGGCAUGCAUGCUGUGCUCACCGUCGAGAAGCUGCUUGCCUGCCUGGCCAAGCCAAGCAGCUCAUUGGAGCGGUGGCUGGGCUGGGCCGGCAGGUGGGCCACCAGGUGGGCUGGAAGGCCAGGUAAGUGGCCCAGGUAGGCUCUCUCUCUCUCUCCCUUUUCUAAAUUGUUUUCUGUUUUCUAUUUUUCUGUAACUUCUGGGCUUUAUUAAAAAUGUCAGGGCAUUACCAAAAAUAAUGAAACUAAUCAUGACUACUGUUUGGAAUAUAUCCAACAGUAAACAUUUUAGUUUAUGAUUAUUUGAGCAUUUAAAAUAUUUAAUAGCAUUUUAAUGCCCAAAUGCAAAUACUGUAACGACCAAAAUCUCGAAGGAUUUGAGUCUCUGUGCUUACCGUGCUAGUCCCUGGAUCGAAAUCGCUAGCACACACAGUAUAUACCAGAAUAGCAAGUGCAUCAUUUAUUACAUCGUAUGAUCUAGAAUAUAUAAAAUAAAACAAUCUGCAUAGCACUUGGCUAGCUUUAUUCAAUCAAACAACGGAAAGUAGCAGAAAAUAACGAUGAGUCCCAUCAUAGCCCACUGGCGAUGCUGAGUGCAGACUCGCGACCCUAACGGUACCUUACUCGUCGUCUGAAUAUCCUGCAACAUGAGAUGUUGCAGCCAUAUAGGUCAAUACUUUGAAUGUAUUGGCAAGUUACACAGGAGUAAUAAUAUAGCAGACCUACAUGUAUAUGCGUAGUACAACAAAGGAAGGCUUGAGGGUUUAUUUUUGCAUAAAGCUGAUUUUAUCCUAAUAACUACCUAAUAGUCAAAUUUUUAUUUAGUUCCUUAUUACUACAAUUAAAUACACAAGGUUGAGUUGGCAAAAUCAACUCCAACCUACCCUUUAUUAAGUUGCCCACAAAUAUUAUUAAGUGUCACAUCUGUCAAGAUCAUCCAACAACUGUAAUGGCAUAGUGGCUCAAAUUUACCCAUAACCGGGGGCACGGCUAAUCAUGAUUAGUUUUAAUACUCUGCAGAGUUUUGUACGCUUUACCCACUGGACCCAAUCCGAAGAUUGAGACGAAGUCUUUCAGAAGCAGUCCCCUAGUCCCAACAGGAGGCCCAUCCCAACUAUUAUAUCUACAUCUGCUGGCACAUCUGGGUAAGGGUUCCACAACUGAUCAACUAAGCCAGAGCCCAUAUAGCCAGUGGCCGCACAUGGAAGCUACUAGUCACUAAGUCUGUCUGAUCUUUUUGAACUUGGGCGGCCGUCCACUUACAUUCAGAGGGUAAAAACCAUGAUGUUCUUGAAACCACCCUUCAAUACCAAUUCCGCCCAGAGGUGAAUUAAGUCCUCAAUUACUACUCAAUUUGAUUAUAUUUAUAAUCCUCACAUAAUCUCAAUAUAUACACGAACCACCCCCGUCUACAAAGCAUAGCAAACUACAACUACCACGAUUUGCAAAAGACGAGAAGAUAGCUCAACAUCAUAUUGCAAAAUAAUAUAGUAUUCCUAUACAUGCAUAAAUUCAUAGUGUGAUAUAACUACAUGCAUAGAAAACAAUAGGUAAAGGAUGAUCAACAUGUAACUUGCCUUGGUUCUGGUUCAGAAAGUCACACUCCUGACAAUAGUUUGCCUCGCACUCCGGACAAUCUACACGUUUCACACAAUUCAGCAAAUCAAUCACCGAAACACGAAUAGGACCAAAAUAAAAACCAACAGCAAGAAAAACCAUUUUAAAACACAACAACAGCAGCAUAACAGCACCUAAAUUGUACUACGGUCACAAUGCAAAAAGAAUCACUCGAAUCCGAUAAACGGUUUGAGAGAUACGGCCUCCGGAAGGUUUAUUUCAAAUUCAAACGAAUUCAAAUUUGAAAAGUGCAAACAUGUGCAAACUUGGUACUCUGAUAAAGUGCUGAUUUUUGUGAGAUCAUAGGAAAAAGAAUUACCUAAUUUGGGUAUACAGAAUAAAAGCUAUAGCUAUUUGAAGUUUUGAGUGAAAAACUGGAAAAAACAAAAACAGCAACAGAAAUCGCCUGGUCCUGUGCGGCACUGUAGCUGCGCCUAUAGCAGUAUGCCACGUGGCAGUUUGUGAUUGGCCAAAGGAGUUCCCCGUGCGUUCGUGCUCACCAGAACAGAGGAAGGGCGGCGGCGGUCUCGGGCGUUGGCGGUGGCGCUCCUCCGGCGAUGCUCCGGCGAAGUUGAGGGGGUGGACGGGUGCGGUGUUGAGUGGCGGAGGCGGUGGUGGUGUUCGACGACGGCGAGGACCUCCUCUGCAGCUGCGGUGGCGGGGUGAACGUGACGUGCUCCGGCGGUGGCAGACGUCGGUGGCGGCGGUGUUCGGCUGUGUCUCAGGCGACAAAACAACGUCAAAACAGUGAAGAGAUGAGCGGAUGGUCGAGGAGAGUAAACGGGGUGGUCCGAGGCGUCCUUACGGCGGCGGGAACGACUGGCGAACGGCGGCGGCGGCGGAGCUCCACGGCGAGAUGCGUUUCGCCCUCGCUCGAGCGUGCGGCAACGAGGAAGAACGAGGAGUGGAUGCGGGGUCGCCCUGGGUCUUCUGCUUGCACACGGCGACUCGGGAGCGCUCGAGGUGGACCAGGGUCGCGGGGUAAACCGGCUUGGCCUCGGCGUGCGCGCGGCGCGGCUGCGUCCGGCUCGGGGUGGAAGAUGGGUGCGGGGCCCGCUGGUCAGUGGCUGGGGCGAGGGGUCGAUCGGGCGCGGGUCGGGUGCGAGCGUGCGGGCGUACCGCUUCGCUAGGUUUAGCGGGCUGCGGGCGGUGGGGUUUGGUGGGCCGCAGCGGUGCGGGGGACUGGGCCGCGCAGUGCGGGGUUAGGUGGGCCGCGGCGUCGGCUGGCUGGCUGGGUAGCUGGCUGUCCGGCUGUUUUUUUUUGGAACACAAAACUACAGAAACACAAAUAACUAAAAUAAAAUAACCACAAUAAAAACUAAACAAAAAUAUAGAGACACACUGUAAAAUAUUUACUACUAAUAUAAACUACAUGAACAAUAGUUCCUCACCUAAUGCAAUUUUAGAAAUUCAUUUUGAUGCAAUAGGACACUCAAACAGCAAUAAAACAAUCAAAUAAAAUAUUUUUAAGAUUGCAAAAAUUACCAGAACAUAUCACAUGAACUGUAAAUAAUAUUCUGCACAUUAUGAACAUUUUUAAAAUAGGGGAGAAGUCAUGUUAUCUCCACUCCAAAUAAAUUGCCUUUUGUUGCAUAAUGAUUUGAAUAUUCUGAAAAAGCAAAUAAUGCAAUAAAAUUAUGAUAUGCAUAUGAAUGAUCUAUUAACAUCCUAAUUUAGGAAAAUACUACUUCGCUAUCGGUCACCCAGGAGUAUUUAGCCUUGCAAGGUGGUCCUUGCUGAUUCACACGGGAUUCCACGUGCCCCAUGCUACUCGGGUUAGAGCGUAAGCUAGUGAUGCUUUCGGCUACUGGACUUUAGCCAUCUAGGGUGCGGCACUCAACCGCUUCGCCUAGCAGCACAACGCUUGUAUUGCUCUCCCACAACCCCGUUUUCACGGUUUAGGCUGCUCCCAUUUCGCUCGCCGCUACUACGGGAAUUGCUUUUGCUUUCUUUUCCUCUGGCUACUAAGAAGUUUCAGUUCGCCAGGUUGUCUCUUGCCUGCUCAUGGAUUCAGCAGGCAGUUUAAAAGGCCCACUGGCGAUGCUGAGUGCAGACUCGCGACCCUAACGGUACCUUACUCGUCGUCUGAAUAUCCUGCAACAUGAGACGUUGCAGCCAUAUAGAUCAAUAUUUUGAAUGUAUUGGCAAGUUACACAGGAGUAAUAAUAUAGCAGACCUACAUGUAUAUGCAUAGUACAACAAAGGAAGGCUUGAGGGUUUAUUUUUGCAUAAAGCUGAUUUUAUCCUACUAUAUACCUAAUAGUCAAAUUUUUAUUUAGUUCCUUAUUACUACAAUUAAAUACACAAGGUUGAGUUGGCAAAAUCAACUCCAACCUACCCUUUAUUAAGUUGCCCACAAAUAUUAUUAAGUGUCACAUCUGUCAAGAUCAUCCAACAACUGUAAUGGCAUAGUGGCUCAAAUUUACCCAUAACCGGGGGCACGGCUAAUCAUGAUUAGUUUUAAUACUCUGCAGAGUUUUGUACGCUUUACCCACUGGACCCAAUCCGAAGAUUGAGACGAAGUCUUUCAGAAGCAGUCCCCUAGUCCCAACAGGAGGCCCAUCCCAACUAUUAUAUCUACAUCCGCUGGCACAUUCGGGUAAGGGUUCCACAACUGAUCAACUAAGCCAGAGCCCAUAUAGCCAGUGGCCGCACAUGGAAGAUACUAGUCACUAAGUCUGUCUGAUCUUUUUGAACCUGGGCGGCCGUCCACUUACAUUCAGAGGGUAAAAACCAUGAUGUUCUUGAAACCACCCUUCAAUACCAAUUCCGCCCAGAGGUGAAUUAAGUCCUCAAUUACUACUCAAUUUGAUUAUAUUUAUAAUCCUCACAUAAUCUCAAUGUAUACACGAACCACCCCCGUCUACAAAGCAUAGCAAACUACAACUACCACGAUUUGCAAAAGACGGGAAGAUAGCUCAACAUCAUAUAGCAAAAUAAUAUAGUAUUCCUAUACAUGCAUAAAUUCAUAGUGUGAUAUAACUACAUGCAUAGAAAACAAUAGGUAAAGGAUGAUCAACAUGUAACUUGCCUUGGUUCUGGUUCAGAAAGUCACACUCCUGACAAUAGUUUGCCUCGCACUCCGGACAAUCUACACGUUUCACACAAUUCAGCAAAUCAAUCACCGAAACACGAAUAGGACCAAAAUAAAAACCAACAGCAAGAAAAACCAUUUUAAAAUACAACAACAGCAGCAUAACAACACCUAAAUUGUACUACGGUCACAAUGCAAAAAGAAUCACUCGAAUCCGAUAAACGGUUUGAGAGAUACGGCCUCCGGAAGGUUUAUUUCAAAUUCAAACGAAUUCAAAUUUGAAAAGUGCAAACAUGUGCAAACUUGGUACUCUAAUAAAGUGCUGAUUUUUGUGAGAUCAUAGGAUAAAGAAUUACCUAAUUUGGGUAUACAGAAUAAAAGCUAUAGCUAUUUGAAGUUUUGAGUGAAAAACUGGAAAAAACAAAAACAGCAACAGAGAUCGCCUGGUCCUGUGCGGCACUGUAGCUGCGCCUAUAGCAGUAUGCCACGUGGCAGUUUGUGAUUGGCCAAAGGAGUUCCUUGUGCGUUCGUGCUCACCAGAACAGAGGAAGGGCGGCGGCGGUCUCGGGCGUCGGCGGUGGCGCUCCUCCGGCGAUGCUCCGGCGAAGUUGAGGGGGUGGACGGGUGCGGCGUUGAGUGGCGGAGGCGGUGGUGGUGUUCGACGACGGCGAGGACCUCCUCUGCGGCUGCGGUGGCGGGGUGAACGUGGCGUGCUCCGGCGGUGGCAGACGUCGGUGGCGGCGGUGUUCAGCAGCGUCUCAGGCGACAAAACGACGUCAAAACAGUGAAGAGAUGAGCGGAUGGUCGAGGAGAGUAAACGGGGUGGUCCGAGGCGUCCUUACGGCGGCGGGAACGACUGGCGAACGGCGGCGGCGGCGGAGCUCCGCGGCGAGAUGCGUUUCGCCCUCGCUCGAGCGUGCGGCAACGAGGAAGAACGAGGAGUGGAUGCGGGGUCGCCCUGGGUCUUCUGCUUGCACACGGCAACUCGGGAGCGCUCGAGGUGGACCAGGGACGCGGGGUAAACCGGCUCGGCCUCGGCGUGCGCGCGGCGUGGCUGCGUCCGGCUUGGGGUGGAAGAUGGGUGCGGGGCCCGCUGUCAGUGGCUGGGGCGAGGGGUGGAUCGGGCGCGGGCCGGGUGCGAGCGUGCGGGCGUACCGCUUCGCUAGGUUUAGCGGGCUGCGGGCGGUGGGGUUUGGUGGGCCGCAGCGGUGCGGGGGACUGGGCCGCGCAGUGCGGGGUUAGGUGGGCCGCGGCGUCGGCUGGCUGGCUGGGUAGCUGGCUGGCCGGCUGUUUUUUUUAGAACACAAAACUACAGAAAUACAAAUAACUAAAAUAAAAUAACCACAAUAAAAACUAAACAAAAAUAUAGAGACACACUGUAAAAUAUUUACUACUAAUAUAAACUACAUGAACAAUAGUUCCUCACCUAAUGCAAUUUUAGAAAUUCAUUUUGAUGCAAUAGGACACUCAAACAACAAUAAAACAAUCAAAUAAAAUAUUUUUAAGAUUGCAAAAAUUACCAGAACAUAUCACAUGAACUGUAAAUAAUAUUCUGCACAUUAUGAACAUUUUUAAAAUAGGGGAGAAGUCAUGUUAUCUCCACUCCAAAUAAAUUGCCUUUUGUUGCAUAAUGAUUUGAAUAUUCUGAAAAAGCAAAUAAUGCAAUAAAAUUAUGAUAUGCAUAUGAAUGAUCUAUUAACAUCCUAAUUUAGAAAAAUUGGGAUGUUACAAACCUACCCCCCUUAAGAUGAAUCUCGCCCUCGAGAUUCGGGUUGGCUAGAGAAUAGAUGUGGGUGAUCCUGCUUGAGAUCUUCCUCUCGUUCCCAGGUAGCUUCCUCCUCUGUAUGAUGAUCCCACUGAACCUUGCAUAACUUGAUUGUCUUGGUGCGAGUAACUCUCUCUGCUGUCUCCAGAAUCUUAACAGGCUUCUCCUCAUAUGUCAAAUCACUCUCCAACUGAAUUGCCUCAAGUGGCACUGUGUCCCUCAAUGGAACAUCCAUCAUCUCUGCAUGACACUUCUUCAACUGAGAUACAUGAAACACAUCGUGAACUCCUGACAAGGAUUCUGGCAACUCCAACUGAUAAGCUACCUCUCCUCUACGCUCCAAGAUCGUGUAAGGCCCCACAAAACGUGGUGCUAACUUACCCUUAAUUCCAAACCUCUUAAUUCCACGAAGUGGUGAAACUCUAAGAUACGCACGGUCUCCUACCUCAUAUGUCACCUCCUUACGUUUUGCAUCUGCAUAACUCUUCUGUCUGGACUGUGCUAUCUUCAGCCUGUCACGAAUCAACUUGACCUUCUCCUCAGCAUCUCUGAUCAAGUCUGGCCCAAAGAACUAACGCUCUCCAACCUCAUCCCACAUUAACGGUGUCCUGCACUUUCUGCCAUACAAUACCUCAAAUGGUGCCAUCUUCAGACUAGCCUGGUAACUGUUAUUAUAUGAGAACUCUGCAUAAGGUAAAUUAUCAUCCCAACUGGACCCGUAGUCCAAAGCACAAGCUCUCAACAUAUCCUCCAAAAUCUGAUUUACCCUCUCUGUCUGCCCAUCUGUCUGUGGAUGGAAAGCUGUACUGAACUCCAGCCUGGUGCCCAAGGAUUCAUGCAACUGGCGCCAAAACUUAGAUGUGAACUGAGUACCUCUAUCAGACACUACCUUCCUUGGAACUCCAUGUAGACAAACAAUUUUAGACAUAUAAAUCUUUGCUAGCUGAGCACUGGUAUAAGUAGUCUUUACCGGGAUGAAGUGAGCAACUUUAGUCAAACGAUCAAUAACUACCCAAAUAGAAUCAUAACCUGACCGAGUCUUGGGUAGACCUGUAAUAAAAUCCAUACCAAUCUCAUCCCACUUCCAAUCAGGUAUAGGCAAUGGCUGUAACAAACCUGCUGGUCUCUAAUGUUCUGCUUUAACUCUCUGGCACACAUCACAUGUUGCAAUAUAUCCAGCAAUUUCCCUCUUCAGGCUAGGCCACCAAAACCUUUCCCUCAAAUCCAAAUACAUCUUAGUAUUACCUGGGUGAAUAGAAUAAGGUGAAUCAUGCGCCUCCUGAAGAAUCAACUUCCUGAUGUCUGCAUCCUGAGGUACACAAAUACGCUUCUCAAACCAUAUGGCCCCAUGUUCAUCCUCAUGGAAACCUUCUGCUUUACCUUUAACCAUGUUCUCUUUUAUCUCAGCAAUCUCCUUAUCACCCUUUUGAGCUUCUCUAAUCAUGUCAAGCAAAGUAGGCUUUACCUCAAGUGUUGCCAAAUAUCCCUUCGGAACCAUCUCCAACCCGAGAUUCCUGAAUUGUUCACAUAACUCGGGUGGCAUAUUAUCAAUAUUAAUUGCAUUAGCAUGGCUCCUACGACUCAAUGCAUCAGCAACAACAUUAGCCUUACCAGGAUGAUACUGCACAUUCAAAUCAUAAUCCUUAAUAAGCUCCAACCAUCUCCUCUGCCUGAGGUUCAAAUCCUUCUGAGUAAAAAUAUACUUCAAGCUCUUAUGAUCAGUAAAUAUAUCACAACGAUUACCAAUAAGGUAUGGCCUCCAAGUUUUCAAUGCGUGCACAACUGAGGCUAACUCCAAAUCAUGGGUAGGAUAAUUAUGCUCAUGAUUCUUAAGCUGACGUGAAGCAUAUGAAACAACUUUACCUUCCUGCAUCAAAACACUCCCAAGUCCUUGACGAGAAGCAUCACAAUAUACCUAGAAGUCGUUAUGUAUAUCUGGCAGUGUUAAGACUAGUGCUGUAACCAAACGCUGCUUCAAUUCCUGAAAGCUGGCUUCACAUUCAUCAGUCCAAACAAACUUCUUCUCCUUCUUCAACAAUUCAGUCAUAGGCUUUGCAAUCUUGGAAAAGUUUUCAAUAAACCUCCUAUAAUAACCUGCAAGGCCCAAAAAGCUGUGAAUCUCCCCAACUGUCGUGGGUGUCUCCCACUCUGUAACUGCAGCAACCUUAGAUGGAUCAACUGCAACUCCAUUACCUGACACAACAUGUCCAAGGAAAGCUACCUCAUCCAGCCAAAACUCACAUUUGCUGAACUUGGCAUACAACUGAUGUUCCCUCAAUUUCUCCAAUUCCAAACGCAGAUGCACCUCAUGCUCUUGCUUAUUCUUGGAGAACACCAAUAUAUCAUCAAUGAAAACAACCACAAAUUUAUCCAAGAACUCCAUAAACACCUUGUUCAUCAUAUUCAUGAAGUAUGCAGGAGCGUUAGUCAGUCCAAAUGACAUAACGGUAUAUUCAUACAACCCAUACCUCGUGGUGAAAGCAGUCUUUGGAAUAUCUUGCUCGCGAAUCUUCAAUUGAUGAUAACCAGAACGGAGAUCAAUCUUAGAAAACACAGUAGCUCCCUCCAACUGGUCAAAUAGAUCAUUUAUCAUAGGCAAAGGAUACUUAUUCUUAAUGGUUACCUCAUUCAGAGAACGAUAAUCAACACACAUCCUCAAGGUUCCAUCCUUCUUCUCCACAAACAAAACUGGAGCUCCCCAAGGUGAUGAACUUGGGCGAAUAAAUCCUUGUGCCUGCAAUUCUCUUAUCUGCUUCUUCAAUUCCUCCAACUCUUGAGGAGGCAUUCUAUACGGUCUCCUUGCAAUAGGUCCAGUGCCUGGUAUUAAAUCAAUAAGAAACUCAAUAUCCCUAUCUGGUGGCAUACCUGGCAACUCCUCUGGAAACACAUCUGGAUAAUCCCUCACAACUGGCACCUCUUCCAGGCUACCCCCCUUAAGAGAGUUCACCUGCACCUGAUUACGCUUAUACUUACACACAUAUUUGAUCCUCUUCCCUCCUGGUGCACUGAGAGUAAUAGAUCGACUGGCACAAUCAAUACGACCUUUAUAUAACUGCAACCAAUCCAUACCCAAAAUAAUAUCCAGACCUUGUGACUUCAAUAUAAUCAAAUCCGUAGGAAACUCAUGCUUCCCAAUAGACAAAGUCAACUGAUGACAACCAACACCUGCUAUCAUCUCAGCUCCUGGGGAGCUCACUCUAAUAGGCAUACUAAGGGUUUUUGUUGGCAAGAAUAGAUGAGUCAUAGAUACAAUAGGGCCAAAAACUAUGUAUAUAUAAAUAUAUUCUACCCAUAUGCAUAAUAUGAUCAAGCCAACAAACACAACAACGAAUAACACCAACACACAAACAACAAACAACAAACAAUAAUAUGAUAAUAUUAUAUAUAUAUAUAGUCGAAUAAUUUCGACAAGAUAUAAAUUAACAAACAAACUACCAAUCAAGCAACAAUCUAGUAUCUUCAUACCACAAAAGUGGGCAUAAUCAGAUACGCUAACACGAUAGCGUUGCAAUAUAAAACAAGCAUGAAUGGUGGUCUCAGCACUAGUUCCUACUUAACUGGCAACAUACUUGAGGGGCUUAACUAAUAAACAGUAAGAAGUAUAACUAGUUGAUAAAUAAUUUUCACUCCUAUGGCUUUUAUAAUCCAUUUUCUAGGGUCACGUCCUACAGUCAACACACUGCUCUGAUACCAUCUGUAACGACCAAAAUCUCGAAGGAUUUGAGUCUCUGUGCUUACCGUGCUAGUCCCUGGAUCGAACUCGCUAGCACACACAGUAUAUACCAGAAUAGCAAGUGCAUCAUUUAUUACAUCGUAUGAUCCAGAAUAUAUAAAACAAAACAAUCUGCAUAGCACUUGGCUAGCUUUAUUCAAUCAAACAGCGGAAAGUAGCAGAAAAUAACGAUGAGUCCCAUCAUAGCCCACUGGCGAUGCUGAGUGCAGACUCGCGACCCUAACGGUACCUUACUCGUCAUCUGAAUAUCCUGCAACAUGAGACGUUGCAGCCAUAUAGGUCAAUACUUUGAAUGUAUUGGCAAGUUACACAGGAGUAAUAAUAUAGCAGACCUACAUGUAUAUGCAUAGUACAACAAAGGAAGGCUUGAGGGUUUAUUUUUGCAUAAAGCUGAUUUUAUCCUAAUAAAUACCUAAUAGUCAAAUUUUUAUUUAGUUCCUUAUUACUACAAUUAAAUACACAAGGUUGAGUUGGCAAAAUCAACUCCAACCUACCCUUUAUUAAGUUGCCCACAAAUAUUAUUAAGUGUCACAUCUGUCAAGAUCAUCCAACAACUGUAAUGGCAUAGUGGCUCAAAUUUACCCAUAACCGGGGGCACGGCUAAUCAUGAUUAGUUUUAAUACUCUGCAGAGUUUUGUACGCUUUACCCACUGGACCCAAUCCGAAGAUUAAGAUGAAGUCUUUCAGAAGCAGUCCCCUAGUCCCAACAGGAGGCCCAUCCCAACUAUUAUAUCUACAUCUGCUGGCACAUCCGAGUAAGGGUUCCACAACUGAUCAACUAAGCCAGAGCCCAUAUAGCCAGUGGCCGCACAUGGAAGCUACUAGUCACUAAGUCUGUCUGAUCUUUUUGAACCUGGGCGGCCGUCCACUUACAUUCAGAGGGUAAAAACCAUGAUGUUCUUGAAACCACCCUUCAAUACCAAUUCCGCCCAGAGGUGAAUUAAGUCCUCAAUUACUACUCAAUUUGAUUAUAUUUAUAAUCCUCACAUAAUCUCAAUAUAUACACGAACCACCCCGUCUACAAAGCAUAGCAAACUACAACUACCACGAUUUGCAAAAGACGGGAAGAUAGCUCAACAUCAUAUAGCAAAAUAAUAUAGUAUUCCUAUACAUGCAUAAAUUCAUAGUUUGAUAUAACUACAUGCAUAGAAAACAAUAGGUAAAGGAUGAUCAACAUGUAACUUGCCUUGGUUCUGGUUCAGAAAGACACACUCCUGACAAUAGUUUGCCUCGCACUCCGGACAAUCUACACGUUUCACACAAUUCAGCAAAUCAAUCACCAAAACACGAAUAGGACCAAAAUAAAAACCAACAGCAAGAAAAACCAUUUUAAAACACAACAACAGCAGCAUAACAGCACCUAAAUUGUACUACGGUCACAAUGCAAAAAGAAUCACUCGAAUCCGAUAAACGGUUUGAGAGAUACGGCCUCCGGAAGGUUUAUUUCAAAUUCAAACGAAUUCAAAUUUGAAAAGUGCAAACAUGUGCAAACUUGGUACUCUGAUAAAGUGCUGAUUUUUGUGAGAUCAUAGGAAAAAGAAUUACCUAAUUUGGGUAUACAGAAUAAAAGCUAUAGCUAUUUGAAGUUUUGAGUGAAAAACUGGAAAAAACAAAAACAGCAACAGAAAUCGCCUGGUCCUGUGCGGCACUGUAGCUGCGCCUAUAGCAGUAUGCCAUGUGGUCGUUUGUGAUUGGCCAAAGGUGUUCCCUGUGCGUUCGUGCUCACCAGAACAGAGGAAGGGUGGCGGCGGUCUCGGGCGUCGGUGGUGGCGCUCCUCCGGCGAUGCUCCGGCGAAGUUGAGGGGGUGGACGGGUGCGGCGUUGAGUGGCGGAGGCGGUGGUGGUGUUCGACGACAGCGAGGACCUCCUCUGCGGCUGCGGUGGCGGGGUGAACGUGGCGUGCUCCGGCGGUGGCAGACGUCGGUGGCGGCAGUGUUCGGCUGCGUCUCAGGCGACAAAACAACGUCAAAACAGUGAAGAGAUGAGCGGAUGGUCAAGGGGAGUAAACGGGGUGGUCCGAGGCGUCCUUACGGCGGCGGGAACGACUGGCGAGCGGCGGCGGCGGCGGAGCUCCGCGGCGAGAUGCGUUUCGCCCUCGCUCGAGCGUGCGGCAACGAGGAAGAACGAGGAGUGGAUGCGGGGUCGCCCUGGGUCUUCUGCUUGCACACGACGACUCGGGAGCGCUCGAGGUGGACCAGGGACGCGGGGUAAACCGGCUCGGCCUCGGCGUGCGCGCGGCGCGGCUGCGUCCGGCUCGGGGUGGAAGAUGGGUGCGGGGCCUGCUGGUCAGUGGCUGGGGCGAGGGGUCGAUCGGGCGCGGGUCGGGUGCGAGUGUGCGGGCGUACCGCUUCGCUAGGUUUAGCGGGCUGCGGGCAGUGGGGUUUGGUGGGCCGCAGCGGUGCGGGGGACUGGGCCGCGCAGUGCGGGGUUAGGUGGGCCGCGGCGUCGGCUGGCUGGCUGGGUAGCUGGCUAGCCGGCUGUUUUUUUAGAACACAAAACUACAGAAACACAAAUAACUAAAAUAAAAUAACCACAAUAAAAACUAAACAAAAAUAUAGAGACACACUGUAAAAUAUUUACUACUAAUAUAAACUACAUGAACAAUAGUUCCUCACCUAAUGCAAUUUUAGAAAUUCAUUUUGAUGCAAUAGGACACUCAAACAGCAAUAAAACAAUCAAAUAAAAUAUUUUUAAGAUUGCAAAAAUUACCAGAACAUAUCACAUGAACUGUAAAUAAUAUUCUGCACAUUAUGAACAUUUUUAAAAUAGGGGAGAAGUCAUGUUAUCUCCACUCCAAAUAAAUUGCCUUUUGUUGCAUAAUGAUUUGAAUAUUCUGAAAAAGCAAAUAAUGCAAUAAAAUUAUGAUAUGCAUAUGAAUGAUCUAUUAACAUCCUAAUUUAGGAAAAUUGGGAUGUUACAAAUACUAUAAGAUUUAAUUGAGAACCCAAAUGAGUCAUGGAAAAAAUGUGCAACACUCCUGGUUAUGUCUCCAGCAUUUCCAGAAAUGAUGAACAUUUUUUAAAGCCAUUUGGACUCAUUGAAAAUAUUUUAGUUGAACCUAGUUGAAUUCAUUUGGUGCUAGGGUUUAGUCAAUCCCCAUUUCAAGUUGAAGUAAAAUUUAAACAUGAUGCAACAACCAGGACUAGCCCACAAGCAAAGCUAAAGCUAGGGCUGUGACAGCUCACCCCCACUAAACAAGAAUCUCGUCCCGAGAUUCAAGACGUGAGGUAAGAAGACAAAGGGGACACUAAGUAUCACAAACUUCAUGAUCCAACUGUCUUCUCAAGGGUGUUGAUCUGUUGACUCAAUCGAUCUUGACGUCUUUGCUUGCGAGGUCUUCAUCCAACACGAUAACAACAGAAGGAGACUCUCCAGAAAACGAUCUCCUCGAAGAUCGAGUAUUCAAGAUCAACUCAUGGAGUGAGAGGUAAGAACAUCUCUCGAGCUGAGAUACGAAGCAUUCAUCCAAAGGGAUGGAGUGGAACAGAUGUCGAAGGUUCACUAGGUAGACAACAAUCCCACACUUAAGAGGGUGGUGAACGGUUGUCAACGUAGCGAAGAUUUGAGUUGCCAUGAUACCAUAUCGAGACACUUCAGGGAAGGUGACUCGUAGAAUAUCCCCUUAAGUGGCAAAAAGAAUUACCUUUGAUUCAGAGAUCAUUGAAACUCUUUAUACCAGCCUAAGGCAAAUCACAAUCGAUCAUUUGAAGGAGUCCGAAAGAAUGGCAUUCUUGGGCCAGAAUGGAUGAUGUGGACUACCUUGUUGAAGACAAUGCAACGGAUGAUUUUUGGUUAUCAUCGAAAAUGAUGGAACCCAUGGUGGAAUGGCACAAUGGUGAUGCAAGCUGGGAGCAAAAUGCAAAUGCCAGAAAUGAUUCUAGUAACUGGGGAGGAACUCAACAGUAGGAAAUAAUUCCACUGUUGGAGUGGUUAUAACACAACCGAAGAAAACUAGGAGCAAUCCCAAUUAGUGUCGAUGAUAACACCUAGUGCUUGUGAGUGCUCUCAAGAACUUGAGCAUUCCUAUAAUCAUCAAGGUUUUACCAACAUCCGUGUCAAGGGUGCUGACAAUACAACAUACUACCAUGAUGAAUAGUGAUGGACGAUGCAGAUGCAAAGGAAGAUAACACUUUCUUAGAUUUCACCUUAGCGAGGCCAAGGGGACAAAAUCUGGAUGAUCGACCGAGAGACAUUUAGCACUCCGCUUCUAAUGUUCUCCUUGAUGUGCUAGCGUAACCCAUUCAUUUAGAUGGUUUGGUACCCAGAACAUCAAGUAAAAGGUCGGACUUCGGAAACACAAAAAUCAUAAGGCACAACUAGGGAGUAAAUCCUACGAAGUCCUUAUGGGGAGGUGGCCAACUUCUUCAAUCAAGAUACUACAAUAAUAGGUCUUCGGGCGGGGUGUGUUGGCCACGACAUCCACUUUACCGGUUAUCGCGAGACCAAUAUUAUAGUUCUUGGGAAAUGUUCCAACCAUCAUAUCUGCCUGAGAUUUAGAUCUGGUUGGUGUCAGAAUAAUCCAGACUCAUUGGUCUGGAAAGAAAAAUGAAAGUUUGCAACACAAAUCGACGAGAUGACGUUGCGAGAUUCUCGGAGAAUGAACUACGGUAGUUAGCUCCAAAACAUGAGCUAGUUCUGCUACAAACAUGUGAACACGUUGUCCAAGACAAGCGUGACCACGUGGUAGUCUUAUAAUAAAAUACUACCAAGUUCAGGUUGGGAAACCAUCAUCGAGGAUAACGAAGUCCUAACACAAGUCAUGAUUCUUAAGAAGGAACUUCUUCUCCUUGAACAAAUCAAUCAGUGGCUUGGUGUGCUAGGAAACACAUAUAGAAUGGAGGCGGCCAACCUAUCAAACCAUAGAGCACUUCGCACAUGUGUGACUAACUUGGGAUGAUUCCAAGGAAGCAAAAACAAUCUUUCUCAAACUCACGACGGCAACUUACAUCAAAUGCACAUGAGCUGGAGAAGGUCACUUCUUACAUCCGAACAUAUGCUUCAUGAUCUAACAUGAACAAAUGCUUUUAAAAGUUUCCAACACUAGCUUAAUGUUCAACAAAAUUAUGGAGAAGACAAGGAUGUUGUCGAUGGGCUCAACAACAAUUCAUCCAGAUUCCCAUGGAGAUGGAAUUCCAUAACUAUGUGAACAAGGUGAUAGUAUUGGUCAGACCCAAAGAUGUAAUGGUGUAUGCUUGAGGGAUCAACCACGAGUAAGACAACAUUACGAACAUCGUUGGUUCUGAUUUGACUUGACGAUAGCCCAUACUCAAAUCAAAGUUUUGACAAGGCAAUAGAUCCAACAACUGAUCACGAGGACCAAUCGAUGGAGAUAUCAUCUUUCUUCAACACACACACACACACAUACACACACAAGAAGAUAUCCCUUAACAUGAACUAAGUCAGACAAGCUAUUAUCUUCCAACUCUCCAAGUUGUUGUCUAGCUCAACCAACUAGCUCAGGGAUAUCCAACACAGAUUCUUGGAGAAGGAGUGAUUUAUAAGAAAACCAACUUGAUCAUGAACUCAACAUAGCGGCCAGGUGACAACCCGGUAAUACUUCUGAGAAGAUAUUCAGAACAUCAUGAACCACCAAUAUGUUACUAAGCUCGAGAACAAUCUUGCUUUCCAGAUCAAGACGAUAUGAUCAAAUAAGCAAGGGAUUAAAUAAUCCUAACUCAUUGAUCGAAGAGUGCACCAGAAAUAAGGACUAGGUAGCACAAUCUAUCUUAGAAUUGAUAGAGGCGGAGGUGUCCCGAUCUUUCAAUGAGAUGAUAACUAUCGAUUUGGUGAAGAUGACUUUGACGAUCCGACUACAAAUGUGCACGACGUUGCGCCUUAGCAAUCGCUAAACCAACUCCGAGAGGUUAUUGACCACGCCGGAACACAAUCAACCUGACCACGAAGGUCUAUUCCUGCAAGCAAUCGAAGAACAAGCAAGAAUAUGAUAAAAGCAAUCUGAAUAUUGCGAGUAUAUAUGAAGUAUUGAUAAAGGUGGGGAUCCGUAAGCGGUCUUGGUCUGGUCGUUGGACACAAAUGAAGUACACGAAGUUGCAAUUGCUAACUUUUAACUAAACAAAUCCCAAGGAAAAAGCUAGUAGAUGGAUCUACUUAUAUAGGAGCAAGGGGUGGCGGCCAAGGAGGUGGGAGGACAUCCCAAGGCAGCCUAAAACUAACCCUAGGUCGUACAAGGCCAAUGGGCCCAAGUGGGGGUGACGUAACACCUUUGGACUUGUAGUUUGACUCGGAUUCUGGUGCAGCGUCAGAUUGUUUCGUCCAUAACUAACCGCUCUGGACGGAUUUUAAGGUGAUUCCAAUUGUGCUGAAAAGAGCAUGAAAUCUACUUUCCAACAAAAAAAGAAUCACCCAAUUCGGAGUCCGUAUGAAAAAUUUGUUGAUGUUUUGAGUCAGGUAUGUCUGUGCAGUCCGAAUCUGAGUCGAGAACGUGAGAGACUUGGACUCUAUCUUCUCUUGGGUCAAAAGUGACGUGAGAGAACUUUUUGAACAGCAAAUAAACAUCUCUUUCUUCCUUAUCUUCAUAUGUGGAUUGUACAAAUGUCCCAUACACCUGCAAUUAGACAAAACGCAAAAGUGUGUGAAGUAUUUUUGUUCUGGAUAAUAUAAAUAGAUUAUUGAAUAGUUUGCACUAGAAAUCCCCUGACAAAUAUGCAUGUAUGCAAUAUUUUUGGUCAUAUCCAAGGUAGUCAUGUCCUCAUCAAGAAUGAUGAUUCAAUAACCAACACGUUAAGAAUGAGUUUAUUGUCCAUUUACUGCCAAGCAACGAGUUGCUCGGAGUAUUGAUUUCACACAUCACAAUUCACUUGUCGACAUUCCGGUUACAACAACACAAGGACCGAGGAAUGAAUGAUGAUGGCGAGGAGUAUCACUACAUCAAGAAUUCAUAAGGGAUGGUGCAAUUCUCAUGAUAAUCCUGACAUAAAGGGGGUAAUACUCCAGGGUAGAACAGAGCAAAAGCUGGAUUGGCAUUUGAUCUGCAGAACACGACUACUUGGACCACUCCAAGAAAUGGAUGAGGUGCUGGAGUUUGUUUCUCCUAGUCAUUCCGGAAUAGAAUGGCUUGAUGAACCACAAGAAUAAUAGGCAUCUAUAACAUGAAUGCACAACUAGUCCUGACUACCACUUGCUAGACGGAGGUCAGGAUACAACUAAAGAGGGACAACUCAAAGGAACAUAUAAUUUUCUGAGUUGUGGAUGCAUAGAUUAGUAUGUCGAGCGAAGCUCAACAUUUCUUCCGGAUAACCCAUGCGGAAAGGUAGAACUGGCAGAGACGCAAUAUAGAAUGGAGUACUCCUCAAGAGCACCCUGGUUGUGAUCUUUUGGCUCAAAAGAACUUCUGCCAUAAGCAGUUCAUGGUAGUUGGAAGAACGAAAUACCACAGACCUCGAGGACUAUCGCAAAGUUACUAAUAUCCUAAAGGAACUAGCAAACACUAUCAACAUGAGGUAAGUAGGGUGAAUCUCGGGUUCAAGAACCCAGGAAUAGAAUACCUACUACUAAGUGGCAUCACGGGAUGCUUUCGAGAAUAAAGGCCAGAAUCAUCACACUGGGACACAAAACAUGGCUAGAUUACUAGGUGAUACUCUAGACACCUAGGGUCAUGAUAAUAACUCCGACAUAUAUGUUAAGGCAACAGAGUACCUCAACUCACCGAUUAGUGUGGUUAAUCUGGCCCAAAGGGACAUAGAAACGGGAGGAAGGGAUUUUGCAAAUGCUUCAGACUAUUUAGAAACCUAGGAUGACUCGGAUAGCAUAACGGCUGUAAAUGCUCAGAAAAGAUUUGAGACAUUCACAAGGAUUUACAUAGUCACUUAACAACAUCAUAUCAAGGUUCUGGUUCAACUGAGAACAUUCUAAAAGUAGUAGAAACUAAAUUGAGGCUUGAAACUAUCAAUCCUAUAAGUCUCUAACAUAGUAACUCGUCAUCCUAGUAGAUAGAUGAGAAGCCUAGUUCCUAAACCCCGUAGAAGAGAACAGGAUGACUCAGAUCAGAAGGCCAUGAGGUAUAAGGAGUAAAAAGAGCCUUACGUUCCCUUCCCCAAUCAAUUCCCCUACAUAUAACUAAAGCAUUUCUAGACUCAACUUCGACCAGUUUGGCUUGGUAAUCCUACAGGCAGUCAGGCUCUGAUACCAAAGCUGUCAGGACCCCGACUCAAUGCCACAUCGAUCUAGCACGUAACAACUCAUAUCACUUUGCGGCCUCACGCACGGUAUUCCCACGGGUGUCGCCUUACCUUUGCCCGGGACAGUUUGCGCCUUUUGGCACACGUAUAUGAUAGUGUCGCUAGCAUCCAUAUGAUAAGGAGCCCGGGCUGACAUGGCUAGUCGUAAACCCAAAGUGGCACAGACUUACAGGGACAGGCAUCCAUGACCCAGGAUCGAACGUGUCGGUCAUCAGCGAGUGAAUCCGGGCUGUAGCACUGGGCUAGCAGGACUCCGGUAAACCGGGCUGUAGCGGGCUAACAGGACUCCGGUAUUCAUCGCGUGACAUUUCCCUGAAUGGACAGACACAGGAACGAAGAAGGACACAUGCCGGCCAGCCUAAGUGUUCCGGAGCAGUAGCAAGCUAGCAUGGCUCAGUGGAAGCACUAGGGGACAUUUCCCUGUAAGAGAGGCUACUAAGGACAAACAACUAGAUAGUCAGAUCCCACACAUACCAAGCAUUUCAAAAACAUACACACAAUAUGCUCGAUAUGUGCAAACACAACAUGGCAUCACAACAUGACUCUACAACUCAAGUAUUUUAUUCAAUAGGCUCCGAGGAGCGAGAUAUUACAAACAUGGGUCUCUCGACCCAGCAUUCAGAGCAUACAAGUCAAAGCACAAGUGGAAGCUUAACAUGUCUGAGUACAGACAUCUACAAAUGAAAAAGGCUAAGAAGCCUGACUAUCUAGUAGAUCCUGCCGAGGGCACAAGAUCGUAGCUGAGGUAACAAACUAAACGUCGAAGUCCACGCGGAACUACUAGUGAGACGGAAGUCUCUCUGCAAAAAAACAUAAAAUAGGCAAACGUGAGUACAAAUGUACCCAGCAAGACUUACAUCAGAACUAACUACAUAUGCAUCAUUAUCAACAGAGGGGAUGGUGGGGUUUAACUGCAGCAAGCCAGCUUCGACUCGGUGGCUAUCCUAAACUACGACUGCAAGUAACUCUUUUGAGGUGGCGCACACGAGUCCACAUAUUCACCACAUCAAUACACCACUAUGGAUCCGCUCCUGUCUCCCUACGAGAACGCCAUCCAUAGCACUCACGCUUAUCUUGCGUAUUUUAGAGUAUCCACUUUCACUUGUCUAUGAACUAUUAUAGGCAACCCAGAAGUCCUUUACCGCGGACACGACUAUUCGAAUAGAUGAUGUUAACCCUGCAGGGGUGUACUUCUUCAUACAUGUUUCCACCACUUAGCGUCUGCACACGACAUGUGCUCGGCAGACUUCAAGCAAAAGCCGACGUGGGUGUAGACCACGACCUACCUAAACACUCAAGUCUCUAGUCUAGGUUUAUCGCCUAUUCAGGUUCCAUCCGCAGGGAGUCCGGCCAAGGUUUCCACAUAUGUCCCCGAAUGAUGUGAACAGGGUUCCGAGACACCUAACGGGUGCCCGGUGUACCCGGCCACGUACCUACCGCAUCACAGCCCACCCCACGGUCAGCGCUGUCCACGGCCUCCAGUAGGCUACAAACACCAAACUACUUGCAACUCCGGGACAGAGGACAAGGGUGAUUAAGAAGUCGAGCGGGGUCAUAUUUCAGGGCCCAAUGUAUGGUAGUAUCUGAAUCAUGGAUCAUAAACACAGAACUCAAUCCCUGAGGACAGCUUCAAUGAGACAACCCACCAUGUACUCCUACAUGGCCUCUCACCAAUACCUUUACCAAAUCAUGUUCACACACUUAGCUCACACCCAGUAGGACAUGUUCACACACCUCUGAUUCAUCCCAGAUGAAUCAGACCUGACACAACUCUAAGCAAUAGCAGGCAUGAAAAACAAGCAUGAAUGAGUAGGCACAUCAGGGCUCAAACAACUCCUACUCAUGCUAGUGGGUUUCAUCUAUUUACUGUGGCAAUGACAGGUCAUGCAGAGGAUAAAGGGGUUCAUCUACCGCAGCAAGUAACAGAUGAAUCGUUGUUGUCCUAAUGCAGUAAAAGAGAGCAGGAGCGAGAGAGUAGGAUUGUAUUGGAAUGAACAAGGGGGUUUUGCUUGCCUGGCACUUCUGAAGAUAGUAUAGCUCUUCAUUGGUGUCAUUGAUCACAUCGUCGGAACCACGUCUAUCGAGAGGGGACAAACCCCGGCAAAAAAGGAAGAAACACAAUCAAUGCAAUGCACAAUAUGAUGCAUGAUCAUGACAUGGUAAUAUGCUGUGAUUGGAGCUAAUGCAUCUAGGAGUAGGUUAAAUGGAGUUGGUUUGAAUACAAGAUUCAAAUUCAAACUCCACAUGUGGUUAUUUAAAUGCCAUUCAUACCAUUUGUCCUAAACAGUAGUCAUAAGUUGUUCUAACAUGCAUGAAACCAGUACAGAUGGAUAGAUUGGAUUUUUCUGAUCAUUUUUCAUAUAUAAAUUAUUUCAUUUGGAGUUACGGUUGAAUUUCUAUGAUUUUUAGAAGUUUAGGACAUUUUCUGAAAAUAAUAAAUCAUUUAGAUUUAUUUAAAAUCCAGAAAAGGGUUUAUUGCGUCAGCACUGCGUCAGGGUGACGUCAGAGGUCAAUGGGGACGUCCAGGUCAAACUGACCAGUGGGUCCCGCGUGUCAGCAAUUAAUUAAACUAACUAAUUUUAGUUAAACUAAUCUGGUUAGUUAGCAGGGGGGGGGGGUGCUUGUCAUUGACUCAGGGGAGUCAACUUGGGCCCACCCAGUCAACGUCAAUGGUCAAACCCGCCGGUCAGUGCGUCAAAGCCUGCCGGCGUUUAGCCGCCGGCGAGGCCAGACGCGGCGGCGUGCUGCAGGAUUUGCCCACAAGGCUCCAUUUGCUACGCGAAGAGCAGCUACGGGCAGCUGGUGCUCUCCCGCAUCCAGCCGUGGUGAUGGCUUGGCCGGGAAGUGGUCGGAGCAUCGUCGGCGACGAGUUUGGCGAAGUCCGAAGCUCGGGCCAGGUCGUGCGCGUGGCUGAAGUGGCCUAGGCGGUGUGGCGCUAGCACCUACAACCUCUACGCGGCGCGAGGAGUGUGACGGAGCAGCGCCGGCGACGUGGCAGGCGGCGGCGCGUUCGGGCACAAGAGACGCGGCGUCUACGGUAUUCUAGGGGUGAAGCAGAAAGCACGAGGAGGUUCAGCAGCUCACAGAGAAGCCGCGGGGAUGGUCAGCGUGCUCGGGGAAGGCUCGGUGCAGUCGGAAUGGGGACGUCGAUCUAGGGUGGCCCAAGGUUGAAAACGACGGCGGCGGGGAUGAUGCAGGGGCUCCGGCGUCGUGUGGCUUGGCUAGUUGAUGGAGUCGAUGACGACGAACCGUCCGGACACGGUGAGAGGGCGCGGGGACGAUGUUGGACGCGGCUGCGGCGAGCGGCGGCGACGGUGACGUUUCGGGCGAUGUUGGGGAGGGCGAGGGAGAGGAGCCAGAGGGGAGGGCGAGUGUCUGCGAGGUCGGGGAGAGAGAGAGGGUUCGUCCCACGUCGACAGCUCGACGAGGGGAGCGGCGAGGCGGCGGGCAGCUGCGUGGCACACAUACUGUGCUCACCGUCGAGCAGCUGCUUGCCUGCCUGUCCAAGCCAAGCAGCUCACUGGAGCGGUGGCUGGGCUGGGCCGGCAGGUGGGCCACCAGGUGUGCUGGAAGGCCAGGUAAGUGGCCCAGGUAGGCUCUCUCUCUCUCUCUUCUAAAUUGUUUUCUGUUUUCUAUUUUUCUGUAACUUCUGGGCUUUAUUAAAAAUGUCAGGGCAUUACCAAAAAUCAUGAAACUAAUCAUGACUACUGUUUGGAAUAUAUCCAACAGUAAACAUUUUAGUUUAUGAUUAUUUGAGCAUUUAAAAUAUUUAAUAGCAUUUUAAUGCCCAAAUGCAAAUACUAUAAGAUUUAAUUGAGAACCCAAAUGAGUCAUGGAAAAAAUGUGCAACACCCCUGGUUAUAUCUCCAGCAUUUCCAGAAAUGAUGAACAUUUUUGAAAGCCAUUUGGACUCAUUGAAAAUAUUUUAGUUGAACCUAGUUGAAUUCAUUUGGUGCUAGGGUUUAGUCAAUCCCCAUUUCAAGUUUAAGUAAAAUUUAAACAUGAUGCAACAACCAGGACUAGCCCACAAGCAAAGCUAAAGCUAGGGCUGUGACACACACGGUAUCAUAUUUUCCGUCCAAAGCUCUUAGGAUCUUCUUGAUGAUGAAUUUGUCGGUCAUCUCUUCACUUCCUAAGCCGGCAAUCUCAUUUGUGAUAAGAGCAAGCCUAGAGUACAUUUCGGCGACACCUUCACCAUCCUUCAUUUUGAACUUGUCAAGUUGACUUUGAAGCACAUCCAACUUGGAUUCCUUGACGGAGUCGGUACCUUCAUGCAUAUCAAUCAAAGUAUCCCAAAUUUCCUUUGCAUUCUCAAGACGGCUGAUUUUGUUGAAUUCUUUGGGGCACAAUCCAUUGAAGAGGACAUCACAAGCUUGAGCGUUGUAUUGCAGCAUCUUCAACUCUUCCGCGCUAGCUUCACGGUUCGGUUCUCUCCCAUCAAAGAAUUCACCUUGCAAGCCAAUACACACAAUAGCCCAAACGGCGGGGUUAUGUCCAAGAAUAUGCAUUUUCAACUUAUGCUUCCAACUAGCAAAAUUAGUACCAUCAAAGUAAGGACCUCUACGGUGAUAAUUUCCCUUGCUAGAUGCCAUACUCUCCUAGGUUGUGAAACCAAGGCUAUGACCACAAAAUCUAUGGACAUCAAAGCAAAUGGAGACCAAAGCUCUGAUACCACUUGUAGGAUCGAAAGUAUGUCUAGAGGGGGGGGGGGUGAUUAGACUACUUGACCAAAUAAAAGCUUAUCAUUUUCCUAAUUUUAGUCUUUGGCAGAUUUUAGCUAUCUUAGCACAAGUCAAGCAAUCUCAACACAAUUCAAGCAAGCAUGCAAAGAGUAUAUGAGCAGCGGAAAGUAAAGCAUGCAACUUGCAGGAAUGUAAAGGGAAGGGUUUAAAGGAUUCAAACACAAUUGGAGACACAGAUGUUUUUGUCGUGGUUCCGAUAGGUGGUGCUAUCGUACAUCCACGUUGAUGGAGACUUCAGCCCACGAAGGGUAACGGUUGCGCGAGUCCACGGAGGGCUCCACCCAAGAAGGGUCCACGAAGAAGCAACCUUGUCUAUCCCACCGUGGCCGUCGCCCACGAAGGACUUGCCUCACUAGUGGUAGAUCUUCACGAAGUAGGCGAUCUCCUUGCUCUUACAAACUCCUUGGUUCAACUCCACAAUCUUGUCGGAGGCUCCCAAGUGACACCUAGCCAAUCUAGGAGACACCUGUAAUGCCCCGAGACCGACGCUUCAGAAGACUUCCAGCUACUCCGAGUUUCGUCAUGUGAUUUGUUUUGUUUGUUGCUUUCAUCUUUGCAUCAUUUGCAUUGCAUCAUGUCAUCAUGCCAUCAUUUCAUUAAUUUUAAACCUCAACUAAAUAAAUGGCAUGGAUCUUUGGUCCAUUUAAAUCGAGGGAAUUCACUCGUGAUUUCUCUUUAUAACAUAUUAAAGCCUCUCAAUAGGGAGCUAUAAUAAAAUUAUUCCAUUUAUUUGGAAUUAACCAAAACACACUUGCAAAAUAAUUUCGUUCCUUUUCUGCUUCAAGUUUGGUCUCCAACUUGCCCGUAAAUUAUCUCGUCAUUUUCCGGAGCUCCACCAAAAAUCCGAACAUUUUUGGACCUUCCUUUUAUCAAGUCCUAGUUCAAACCCAUUUGAAUUAAAUUCAAAUGAGUUUGAAUUCUUAUCUUUCAAUCAUGGCCUUUCUAUUUUUCUUGGAACGAGCAUAUUUUUGUGAGUCCAGGGAAAUUAACCCCUUGCACAUAUUCUUUCCCUAACCCUUUCUUUCUUUCCUUCUCUCUAUUUCUUUUCUGUUAAGAAAAAUAUGAGAGGAAGGGAGAGAGAGAGCCUGCACCCAACAGCCUGGGCCUUCCAACCUCCCGCGCCGGCCCAUCCAUCCCUAAGCCCGCAUGGGCCAAGGCUCUCCCACCGGCCUCUUUAGGCCCAGCCGGCCCCAGCACCUAACCCUAGCCCGACUCCCAUCGGUCUCCAUCUCUCCCUCGUCCUCCUCCAGCGCCGCUACCCCGUGCCCGAUCCCCACGCGCAGCCUCGACCCCCCUCGCUCGAUCUCAUCUCCCUCUCGUCCCUCUGCCCGCCGCCGCACUAACACGCCGCAUCAAGCUCCCAGUGCCCGAUCCCCAUCGCCUCCUCUUGUCCCUUGCCGCGCAGCGCCUGACCCCCUCGCCGAGGCCAUGGCCGCCGCCGCACCUUCUUCCCUUCCUCGCCAUCGCCGCCCUGGCGAGCGCCGCCCCAACGCCCUCCAUGCGACGCCUCCCUUUCUCCUGCUCCUCUGCGACAGCCUGCUGUCGCCAAGUCCCGGCCUCCAACGCCAGGAUCGGCCCCGAGCUGCUGCGCCGCUCCGACGACCCCAUCUUCGCGCCGGGCCCCGAUCUUCUCGAGCGCGACCCCGCCGCCUCGCGCCUCCACCUCCUCGCCGGUCACCCGCAGCUCGCCGCGCCCUGCUUCUCCUUCCCUGCCUCCACCGCGAGCCCACCAUGGCGCUCGCAGCCAUCCUCUUCACCCCGCGUCCCCACCGGCUCCCGUCGCUGGAGUUCAUGCCCAAGGCCGCUGCAACCUCACCUUCGGCCAAGCCUUGCUUUCCUGUGCUGUUGUUCGCUGCACGCCAAGACCACCCCCGUGGAUUUUGCCAAGUACCACUAUGACCCGUGUGCGACUAUGCGGAUUCACCAAGUACCCCUCCAGCAAGACCGACGCCUGAACAAGCACACCGGCUCUGUGGAUUUCGGCAAGUCCCUCCGACGACCGGUGCUUAGUACCACUACGUUUGCCAUGUACAUCUACACCAAGACCGGUCCGACAAGUACCACGAAGUCCGUGAACCACUACCGUCGCCCCGAAGAUGUUGGAUUCGUCAAGUACCUCUCCGAAAACGAACGUGUACCACUACUUCCACGACGCCCGUGAACGUCUACCUCCACGACGACCCGUGAACGUCUACGAGAUGUACCACUACCGUCGACCCGUGAACGUCUACUUCCCUCUACGAACUCGAUCCGCCCGAAAUGCACGCUUCGAAGGUAUAACACCGAGACGAUGUCCGUGGACCGAAUGCAUGUUGUAUGAGAUGCCCGUUUUUGCAUCGUGUCCGUUUGUCACUCGUUUCCAUGCCACUAUCCCGUGGGAACCCGGAAUCCGGGAGCACCCCACCAUCUUGCAUGACUUGUUCACGCCUCCUUUUGCACCGGUAUCUCCGUGAGCUACCGGAACCGAUAUGUUGCCGUGGCAUCAUUUUCGGAUAUGUUGCCGUGGCAUCAUUUUCGGAUAUGUUGCCGUGGCACCAUUUUUGUUUCGCCGCCGUGGCACCCUUUUCGUUCCGCCAUGGUGACCAAAUGCUCCUUAUCAUGCUCAUGUCAACAUUUUCAUAAAAAUUGCAUAGAACUUGCAUAUGUCAUCCGCAUCAUGAUAACAACAAUUAAAAUGUUUAAAAUUUGUUGUUGCAUUAAAUUGCUAAAUAACAUAUGGGGAUUUCCGGAAUUUUUGUUUCUUGUUUCCGGCCUCACUUAAACUUGCCUAAAUUGUUAGUUUAAUUAUGCUUCACCCUCUUGCCAUGUUAACCAACAUUUAAUCUUGUCUUGUUCAUAACCGAGAGAAAAACUAAAUAAUUGAUGUGGUGUUUCGUCAAUAGGCAACUCGUUGCAUAUUGAGCUCCACUUAACUUGUAGUGUUGUUUGUUGCAUAUUGCCAUGCCAUGCCUCUUUAAACCGGACAUGCAUCAUACUUGCUUGCGCAUCAUGCCAUGUUUAUGUGAUGGUUGUUUACUAUGUUGUUUGUUUCUUUCCGGGUUGCCUCUCUCGUUAGCUUUGGUUUCGUUCCGGAGUUGUGAGGAUCCGUUCGACUUCGUCUGUUUGUCUUCUUCAUGGACUCGUUCUUCUUCCUUGCGGGGUUUCAGGCAAGAUGAUCAUACCCUCGAAAUCACUACUAUCUUUGCUAUGCUAGUUUGCUCGCUCUUUUGCUAUGCCAAUGCUACGAUGCCUACCAUUUGCUUGUCAGCCUCCCAAAUUGCCAUGUCAAACCUCUAACCUUUGACACCAUUCCUAGCAAACCGUUGUUUGGCUAUGUUACCGCUUUGCUCAGCCCCUCUUAUAGCAUUGUUAGUUGCAGGUGAAGAUGAAGUUUGUUCCUUGUUGGAACAUGGAGAUGUUGUUCCUUGUUGGAACAUGUUUACUUGUUGGGAUAUCACAAUAUCUCUUAUUUAAUUAAUGCAUAUAUAUACUUGGUAAAGGGUGGAAGGCUCGGCCUUAUGCUUGGUGUUUUGUUCCACUCUUGCCGCCCUAGUUUCCGUCAUACCGGUGUUAUGUUCCCGGAUUUUGCGUUCCUUACGCGGUCGGGUGAUUUAUGGGACCCCCUUGACAGUUCGCUUUGAAUAAAACUCCUCCAGCAAGGCCCAACCUUGGUUUUACCAUUUGCCUACCUAAGCCUUUUUCCCUUGGGUUCUGCAGACUCAAGGGUCAUCUUUAUUUUACCCCCUGGGCCAGUGCUCCUUCGAGUGUUGGUCCAACCUAAGCGAUGUCCGGCGCCCCCUGGGCAACCAGGGUCUAUGCCAACCCGUCGUCUUGCUCAUCCGGUGUGCCCUGAGAACGAGAUAUGUGCAGCUCCUAUCGGGAUUUGUCGGCACAUCGGGCGGCUUUGCUGGUCUUGUUUUACCAUUGUCGAAAUGUCUUGAUGUACCGGGAUACCGAGUCUGAUCGGAGUGUCUUGGGUGAAGGUCUAUUCCUUCGUUGAUCGCGAGAGCUUGUCAUGGGCUAAGUUGGGACACCCCUGCAGGGUAUAAACUUUCGAGAGCCGUGCCCGCGGUUAUGUGGCAGAUGGGAAUUUGUUAAUGUCCGGUUGUAGAAAACCCGAAGUUGACCUUAAUUAAAAUACAUCAACCGUGUGUGUAACCGUGAUGGUCUCUUUCCGGCGGUGUCCGGGAAGUGAACACGGUGUUGGAGUUAUGCUUGACGCAGGUUGCUAUAGGAUCACUUCUUGAUCAUACUUUUAUCGACCGUGCUUUGCCUUCUCUUCUCGCUCUCAUUUGCGUAUGUUAGCCACCUUAUAUGCUAGUCGCUUGCCGCAGCUCCACCUCAUUACUACAUCCUUCCUAUAAGCAUAAAUAGUCUUGAUCUCGCGGGUGCGAGAUUGCUGAGUCCUCGUGACUCACCAGAUACUUCCAAAACCAGUUUGCAGGUGCCUAUGUUACCGAGCAGGUGACGCAACCAAGCUCAAGGAGGAGCUCGAUGAAGAUCUUGCCCCUUUGUGUUGUUUCGUUCUAGUUGAUCAGUAGUGGAGCCCAGUUGGGGUCGAUCGGGGACCUUUGUUGCAUUUGGGGUUCUUCUUUUAUUUUGGUUCCGUAGUCGGACCUUGAUUGUAUCUGGAUGAUGUAAUGCUUUAUUCAUGUAUUUGUGUGAAGUGGCGAUUGUAAGCCAACUAUGUAUCUCUUUCCCUUAUGUAUUACAUGGGUUGUGUGAAGAUUACCUCACUUGCGACAUUGCUUUCAAUGCGGUUAUGCCUCUAAGUCGUGCUUCGACACGUGGGAGAUAUAGCCGCAUCGAGGGCGUUACAAGUUGGUAAUCAGAGCCUUCCCCGACCUUAGGAGCCCCACUGCUUGAUCGUUUUUAGCGGCCGAGUUGUGUCUAGAAAAAUGUUUUGAGUCAUUUAGGAUUAUAUAUAUCGGAGAGUUUAGGAGUUCUUUUUACUCCCCAGUCCCUUCGACCUUCUGGUAAGGCAUCCUGACGUAGAGUUUUGACUCUUCUCUUCUCAAAUUUCACUAAAUUUUUUUUAGGAUCAUGCGGGUAUCUUGGAAUUGUUCCGAUGGUUUUAUGAUGACAACAUUGUCUUGGUGCCUCCAGUCAGCAGGGGUUUUUUUUGGAGGUGUCCCGGGGAGUUGAGCUCUGAGGUGUUGUCGUCAUAAUUUUAUCGUUGCAGUUCUGGAAUACCUGAGUUUAGUACGCCGACAUCGAAAAUCUCUUUUAUGCAGUUGUUGGUGAGAUAACCCCGCUAACCCAGUACUGAGGUGAGUACGGGAGUAUUGCCAUGACUCGUAUAACGGAUGCUUUUCGAAGGUUGAGGUACACGAUUUCCGAAGGUUUCUUGGUUAUGUGUUGACGGAUGGAUACAGCUGGAUGUAGGGAUUGUUAGUUUGGGUGAGAUAUAUUGCUUCCCCUGUAUCCCCAACACCAGAUUGCAUAACCAGAAAGUUUCGGGAGUUUAUAGGUGGGAAUUCAAGUAGUUCCUAGAAUAUAUUUCCGACAAAUGCAUGAUAUGGGAUUGGGUAAAUCUCUAUCAUAUGUAUUUGUUCCGGCUUAUUCUGCAAGCCAAUCCUUUGUUUUGUUUUAUUUGUGGUAUUCGAGUUGCUUCAAAGUCAAAUGUUGAAUCCAUACCUUUCCUAAACGGUGUUCUCAUAUUGCUAUGUGAAUACUAAUCCUUUUUAAUCAUUGAGGUUGUCAUGUUAAUCCUUUUCCAACCGGUGCGCUUCUCUUCGAGAUGAUCCCAUCAUUCUCCCCAUCCGCAAGACCAAUUAUCAUUUCUUCUCAACGGUAUUUGUUUCAUCCGUCUCCAAGUUGCCUUUGUUUUUUUCCGCCCACCCACCCUUUUUCCUCAAGGACUAAGAUUUCUUUAUCAAGUAUCCUUUUAUUUUUGUGAAGUUUCUCCAUUCUUUUCCGUCAAUGUUCUUACCCGGUGGUUCUCAAGAAGAUGUUCUACUACUUCGUCAUUCCUCAUUCAUUUCUCUUCUCCGGUGGAUUCAAGUCAAGUUUUGUUGAUCAUACCUUUUUCCUCAUUUCAAUGUCUUCUCAUACCGGUGCACCUAAUUAUCAUUCUUCUUGCUAUUUGUUAUUCCGGAGUGCUCAAGAUAUCUCGAAGAUUCGUGUUUCCACUCUGCAUUCGUUCAAGCUCUUUCGAGAUUGUUAUCUCAUUCAAGCCAUUUAAUUCAACCGGUGCAACAUCUCUUUUAAAUCUUUUCAACGGUGUUCUUUUGAGUGGGCCCUAACCCACAGGUCUUUUCCCAGGAUCUUACCUGACUCUUCUAUUUUCCCAGAGCUAUCCUAAAUUCUUCUCCAAGUUUGACGUAAGAAUGAGUUAUCAUCAGUCAAAUGCUUUUCUCCAAGAUCUUUCAAAUUCUUUUCAUAGUUGGCUCAACCUCUUCGCUUUUGAUUCUUCCGGUGUGCCUCAAUAAUUCUUGGUGGUGUUUCUCGUUGUCAUUCUCAUCAUUUGAAGGCUGAAGAAGAGUUUCUCUUUAAUCUUGCUCUAUUCUCUUCAAGAUUCAUGGUGAUAGCUUGUCGCCAUCCUCUAAUAAUUCUUUUCGAUUGUGAGAUUUUUUUUUCACCCAUCCGGAGCGUUUUAGGAGUCUUUUCAGUUUCAUUCUUUGAAGCCCAUCAUCUCAAUUUUAUUCAUUCAAGCUUUCAGCUCUCGUUCUCCAAAUCAUACCGGUGCAUCAUUCAAGUAUUCUCUAAUCAGCUCGUGAUCUAUUCGUUCAUUUGCUAAUUCUUACCGGUGAUGCACCCCUACUUCGAUUAUUUUCAAUUCUUACGGUGGUUCUUUCAAGAUCUCUCUUCCUUGUUCAUCAUAUCAAUUCAUUUGUUGUUCCAAUCCUACCGGUGGUUCGUUCAAGAGUUCUCUUCCUUCGUUAUCAUAUAGAUUCAUUCGUUCUUUCCAAAUCCUACCGGUGGUUGUUGAAGACCUUUUUAAAGUUUACGCCAUAUCUCUCUUAAUCCUUUCUACGAGAAUAAGUAGUAUGCCAAAUCCGUUGCUUGUCAUCAAUUUAAAUUGGUGAAGGAUACGCAUAACAUAAUUCUUGUUCUUGUUUCAUCAAAGUGAGUAAUUCCUUUUUUCGGAGUUUGUUCAUGAUGAAUGAAUUCUCGGUUUCAGUUGUUUCAUCUUCUCUUUUUCCCGGAGUUCCAAGCUCUAAUCAUCAUGAAGAUCCAUCUAAAUCUUUGCAAGGAUUCACCUUGUGUUUUCAACUUCUCUUCUUCUCAUCAUCCUUUUAUUACCAGAGUUCUUCAUGGAGGCUCUACAUGAUGGUUCGUCAAGGUUUCUUUUCAUUCUUCAAUUGUUCUUCAAGAUUUCUCUUGAAGUUGUGACCCGUCAAGCUAUACUCUAAAAUAAACAUGGUGCUCAACACAUGUUUUGUUUUGAGGCGUUCAAGUAUUCUUCAUCUUGCAUUCCGAAGUGCGAUUCUUUCUACCUUAUCUUCUGAGGUGGUGUUAGGUCAUUCUUGAUAAUUUUCCCUUCGCGUUUCAUGAUUCACAAGUUUUCAAGAGUGACAUAUUUAAAUCCAUCUUUUUCUCUUUGUUCAAGAGAUCUUUUCAACUGUCAAUCUCUUCAUUGGAGUUAUCUGGGUAUAGAUUUCACCUAAAGCCUUCCCUAAGGAAUGUUGCUAUUUUGGUGCUUAUUAAUGACCCAAGUUAUCUCUUUUCCAUCUUGAUGGAACAAGAUUUCAUCUCUUCGUUAAUCUCAAGCAAGAAAUUGUUUCCGUUUGUGGUUGGUUGUCACCUCAUCAUUUAGAGAUGUUUGCCAUAAGCCCACAACAAGCUUGUGCUUUUCGUUGUUGAUUUUCCAACAACUCCGUUCAAUUCUUAUUUGCAAGGAUGCUUUCCAAGCUCAUUUGUGGUAGAAGUUGUCAUUUCCCCCUCCAUUCUGCUAUUCCAGGGAUCUAUCUUCUAUUCUUUCUUCUGGAGGCAUUGUGAUGUUGCUCUUUUCACUCAUCAUCUCGAAUUGUGAGGAUCAUGUUCUUUUCUUGCUUAUCCAUUCAACCGGAGUGUUGUGUUCUCAUUCAAGUUUUUUUCAUCUUAUCAAGUUUUCCUUCUUCUUUCAGUCGGAGUGCUGCUCAAAUUAUAUCAAUCUUAUCCCUUCUCUAUCUUGUUUUAACCGGAGUGGUUUCGAAUUCUAUCUUGUCCAUUAAACUCUUGGUUCGUCUCUUUGCAAUCUUCAAGUUCUCGUAAUGUUCCUUGUUCCUCUUUUCUAACGGAUUGUUUGCAAUCUCGUUCUUCUCAGUUGUGCUCUUUCUUUUAAAUUUCUCAACCUCUCAAGGUUCGUGGUUUCACUCGUUCGUCAAAGAAGCAACUUAGUUUUACCUCUUCUCUUUCUCUUCCGUUUUUCCUAUGUUGCCAUUCUAGAUCUCGGGACGAGAUCCUCUCAUAGUGGUGGAGUGUUGUAACGCCCCGAGACCGACGCUUCAGAAGACUUCCAGCUACUCCGAGUUUCGUCAUGUGAUUUGUUUUGUUUGUUGCUUUCAUCUUUGCAUCAUUUGCAUUGCAUCAUGUCAUCAUGCCAUCAUUUCAUUAAUUUUAAACCUCAACUAAAUAAAUGGCAUGGAUCUUUGGUCCAUUUAAAUAGAGGGAAUUCACUCAUGAUUUCUCUUUAUAACAUAUUAAAGCCUCUCAAUAGGGAGCUAUAAUAAAAUUAUUCCAUUUAUUUGGAAUUAACCAAAACACACUUGCAAAAUAAUUUCGUUCCUUUUCUGCUUCAAGUUUGGUCUCCAACUUGCCCGUAAAUUAUUUCGUCAUUUUCCGGAGCUCCACCAAAAAUCCGAACAUUUUUGGACCUUCCUUUUAUCAAGUCCUAGUUCAAACCCAUUUGAAUUAAAUUCAAAUGAGUUUGAAUUCUUAUCUUUCAAUCAUGGCCUUUCUAUUUUUCUUGGAACGAGCAUAUUUUUGUGAGUCCAGGGAAAUUAACCCCUUGCACAUAUUCUUUCCCUAACCCUUUCUUUCUUUCCUUCUCUCUAUUUCUUUUCUGUUAAGAAAAAUAUGAGAGGAAGGGAGAGAGAGAGCCUGCACCCAACAGCCUGGGCCUUCCAACCUCCCGCGCCGGCCCAUCCAUCCCUAAGCCCGCAUGGGCCAAGGCUCUCCCACCGGCCUCUUUAGGCCCAGCCGGCCCCAGCACCUAACCCUAGCCCGACUCCCAUCGGUCUCCAUCUCUCCCUCGUCCUCCUCCAGCGCCGCUACCCCGUGCCCGAUCCCCACGCGCAGGCUCGACCCCCCUCGCUCGAUCUCAUCUCCCUCUCGUCCCUCUGCCCGCCGCCGCACUCACACGCCGCAUCGAGCUCCCAGUGCCCGAUCCCCAUCGCCUCCUCUUGUCCCUUGCCGCGCAGCGCCUGACCCCCUCGCCGAGGCCAUGGCCGCCGCCGCACCUUCUUCCCUUCCUCGCCAUCGCCGCCCUGGCGAGCGCCGCCCCAACGCCCUCCAUGCGACGCCUCCCUUUCUCCUGCUCCUCUGCGACACCCUGCUGUCACCAAGUCCCGGCCUCCAACGCCAGGAUCGGCCCCGAGCUACUGCGCCGCUCCGACGACCCCAUCUUCGCGCCGGGCCCCGAUCUGCUCGAGCGCCACCCCGCCGCCUCGCGCCUCCACCUCCUCGCUGGUCACCCGCAGCUCGCCGCGCCCUGCUUCUCCUUCCCUGCCUCCACCGCGAGCCCACCAUGGCGCCCGCAGCCAUCCUCUUCACCCCGCGUCCCCACCGGCUCCCGUCGCUGGAGUUCAUGCCCAAGGCCGCUGCAACCUCACCUUCGGCCAUGCCUUGCUUUCCUGUGCUGUUAUUCCCUGCACGCCAAGACCACCCCCGUGGAUUUUACCAAGUACCACCGUGACCCAUGUGCGACUAUGCGGAUUCACCAAGUACCCCUCCAGCAAGACCGACGCCUGAACAAGCACACCGGCUCUGUGGAUUUCGGCAAGUCCCUCCGACGACCGGCGCUUAGUACCACUAUGUUUGCCAUGUACAUCUACACCAAGACCGGUCCGACAAGUACCACGACGUCCGUGAACCACUACCGUUGUCCCGAAGAUGUUGGAUUCGUCAAGUACCUCUCCGAAAACGAACGUGUACCACUACUUCCACGACGCUCGUGAACGUCUAUCUCCACGACGACCCGUGAACGUCUACGAGAUGUACCACUACCGUCGACCCGUGAACGUCUACUUCCCUCUACAAACUCGAUCCGCCCGAAAUGCACGCUUCGAAGGUAUAACACCGAGAUGAUGUCCGUGGACCGAAUGCAUGUUGUAUGAGAUGCCCGUUUUUGCAUCGUGUCCGUUUGUCACUCGUUUCCAUGCCACUAUCCCGUGGGAACCCGGAAGCUGGGAGCACCCCACUAUCUUGCAUGACUUGUUCACGCCUCCUUUUGCGCCGGUAUCUCCGUGAGCUACCGGAACCGAUAUGUUGCCGUGGCAUCAUUUUCGGAUAUGUUGCCGUGGCAUCAUUUUCGGAUAUGUUGCCGUGGCACCAUUUUUGUUUCGCCGCCGUGGCACCCUUUUCGUUCCGCCAUGGUGACCAAAUGCUCCUUAUCAUGCUCAUGUCAACAUUUUCAUAAAAAUUGCAUAGAACUUGCAUAUGUCAUCCGCAUCAUGAUAACAACAAUUAAAAUGUUUAAAAUUUGUUGUUGCAUUAAAUUGCUAAAUAACAUAUGGGGAUUUCCGGAAUUGUUGUUUCUUGUUUCCGGCCUCACUUAAACUUGCCUAAAUUGUUAGUUUAAUUAUGCUUCACCCUCUUGCCAUGUUAACCAACAUUUAAUCUUGUCUUGUUCAUAACCGAGAGAAAAACUAAAUAAUUGAUGUGGUGUUUCGUCAAUAGGCAACUCGUUGCAUAUUGAGCUCCACUUAACUUGUAGUGUUGUUUGUUGCAUAUUGCCAUGCCAUGCCUCUUUAAACCGGACAUACAUCAGACUUGUUUGCGCAUCAUGCCAUGUUUAUGUGAUGGUUGUUUACUAUGUUGUUUGUUUCUUUCCGGGUUGCCUCUCUCGUUAGCUUUGGUUUCGUUCCGGAGUUGUGAGGAUCCGUUCGACUUCGUUUGUUUGUCUUCUUCAUGGACUCGUUCUUCUUCCUUGCGGGAUUUCAGGCAAGAUGAUCAUACCCUCGAAAUCACUACUAUCUUUGCUAUGCUAGUUUGCUCGCUCUUUUGCUAUGCCAAUGCUAUGAUGCCUACCAUUUGCUUGUCAGCCUCCCAAAUUGCCAUGUCAAACCUCUAACCUUUGACACCAUUCCUAGCAAACCGUUGUUUGGCUAUGUUACCGCUUUGCUCAGCCCCUCUUAUAGCGUUGUUAGUUGCAGGUGAAGAUGAAGUUUGUUCCUUGUUGGAACAUGGAGAUGUUGUUCCUUGUUGGAACAUGUUUACUUGUUGGGAUAUCACAAUAUCUCUUAUUUAAUUAAUGCAUCUAUAUACUUGGUAAAGGGUGGAAGGCUCGGCCUUAUGCCUGGUGUUUUGUUCCACUCUUGCCGCCCUAGUUUCCGUCAUACCGGUGUUAUGUUCCCGGAUUUUGCGUUCCUUACGCGGUCGGGUGAUUUAUGGGACCCCCUUGACAGUUCGCUUUGAAUAAAACUCCUCCAGCAAGGCCCAACCUUGGUUUUACCAUUUGCCUACCUAAGCCUUUUUCCCUUGGGUUCUGCAGACUCAAGGGUCAUCUUUAUUUUACCCCCCGGGCCAGUGCUCCUUCGAGUGUUGGUCCAACCUGAGCGAUGUCCGGCGCCCCCUGGGCAACCAGGGUCUAUGCCAACCCGUCGUCUUGCUCAUCCGGUGUGCCCUGAGAACGAGAUAUGUGCAGCUCCUAUCGAGAUUUGUCGGCACAUCGGGCGGCUUUGCUGGUCUUGUUUUACCAUUGUCGAAAUGUCUUGAUGUACCGGGAUACCGAGUCUGAUCGGAGUGUCUUGGGUGAAGGUCUAUUCCUUCGUUGAUCGCGAGAGCUUGUCAUGGGCUAAGUUGGGACACCCCUGCAGGGUAUAAACUUUUGAGAGCCGUGCCCGCGGUUAUGUGGCAGAUGGGAAUUUGUUAAUGUCCGGUUGUAGAAAACCUGAAGUUGACCUUAAUUAAAAUACAUCAACCGUGUGUGUAACCGUGAUGGUCUCUUUCCGGCGGAGUCCGGGAAGUGAACACGGUGUUGGAGUUAUGCUUGACGCAGGUUGCUAUAGGAUCACUUCUUGAUCAUACUUUUAUCGACCGUGCUUUGCCUUCUCUUCUCGCUCUCAUUUGCGUAUGUUAGCCACCUUAUAUGCUAGUCGCUUGCUGCAGCUCCACCUCAUUACUACAUCCUUCCUAUAAGCUUAAAUAGUCUUGAUCUCGCGGGUGCGAGAUUGCUGAGUCCUCGUGACUCACCAGAUACUUCCAAAACCAGUUUGCAGGUGCCUAUGUUACCGAGCAGGUGACGCAACCAAGCUCAAGGAGGAGCUCGAUGAAGAUCUUGCCCCUUUGUGUUGUUUCGUUCUAGUUGAUCAGUAGUGGAGCCCAGUUGGGGUCGAUCGGGGACCUUUGUCGCAUUUGGGUUCUUCUUUUAUUUUGGUUCCGUAGUCGGACCUUGAUUGUAUCUGGAUGAUGUAAUGCUUUAUUCAUGUAUUUGUGUGAAGUGGCGAUUGUAAGCCAACUAUGUAUCUCUUUCCCUUAUGUAUUACAUGGGUUGUGUGAAGAUUACCUCACUUGCGACAUUGCUUUCAAUGCGGUUAUGCCUCUAAGUCGUGCUUCGACACGUGGGAGAUAUAGCCGCAUCGAGGGAGAUAUAGAGGUAGAUCUUCACGAAGUAGGCGAUCUCCUUGCUCUUACAAACUCCUUGGUUCAACUCCACAAUCUUGUCAGAGGCUCCCAAGUGACACCUAGCCAAUCUAGGAGACACCACUCUCCAAGAAGUAACAAAUGGUGUGUUGAUGAUGAACUCCUUGCUCUUGUGCUUCAAAUGAUAGUCUCCCCAACACUCAACUCUCUCUCAUAGGAUUUGGAUUUGGUGGAAAGAAGAUUUGAGUGGAAAGAAACUUGGGGAAGGCUAGAGAUCAAGAUUCAUAUGGUAGGAAUGGAAUAUCUUGGCCUCAACACAAGUGUAGAUGGUUCUCUCUCAGAGAAUGCAAGUUGGAAGUGUAGGUUCGUUCUGAUGGCUCUCUCCACGAAUGAAGAGGAGGUGGAGGGGUAUAUAUAGCCUCCACCCAACAUCUAACCGUUACACACAACUUGCCAAACUCGGUGGGACCGAAUUGAUAAACUCGGUCAGAGUGAUUCAGCAAAUCUAGUGACCGUUAGGACUUUCGGUGGGACCGACAUGCAACUCGGUAGGACCGAUAUGAUUAGGGUUAGGGCAUAACGUAAUCUCGGUGAGACCGAUUACACAAACUUGGUGGGACCGAUUUUGGUAAUAAGCGAACCAGAGAGUUGGUCCGGUAAACUCGACGGGACUGGUUCACUCAUUUUGGUGGGACCGAAAUGUUACGAAAAGGAAACAGGGAGUUUACAUUGCAAUCUCGGUGGGACCGAUCGCUCAUCUCGGUGGUACCGCAACGUUACGAAGGGAAACAAAGAGAUUACAGUCCCAUCUCGGUGCGACCGAGAUCCCUAUCGGUGAGACCAAUUUGCCUAGGGUUUGUGGCAGUGGCUAUGACAUGUGAACUCGGUGGCGCCGGAUAGAAAGAAUCGGUGGGGCUGAGUUUGACUUUUGGCUUAGGUCAUAUGUGGAUGUGGGAAAGUAGUUGAGGGUUUUGGAGCAUAUCGCUAAGCACUAUGAAGCAAGAACCUCAUUAAGAAACACCUCAUCCCUCCUUGAUAGUAUUGGAUUUUCCUAUAGACUCAAUGUGAUCUUGGAUCACUAAAAUAUAAAAUGUAGAGUCUUGAGCUUUGAGCUUGAGCCAAUCCUUUUGUCCUUAGCAUUUUGAGGGGUCCACUUUUCUCAUCCAUGCCAUGCCAUUCAUUGAGCUUUUCCUGAAAUAAUUAUCUUGGAAUAAUGUUAGCUCAGUGAGCUAUAUGUUGUUAGGAAUUACCAAAACCACCUAGGGAUAGUUGCACUUUCACCUUCCAAUAUAUCGAUCUUUAUGUCUCAAACAUUUCGAGACUCCUCGUCAUGUCCAUGAUCUCAUCCGGGACUCGGAACUACCUUCGAUACAUCAAAUCACAUAACUCAUAAUACAAAUCAUCAUCGAACGUUAAGCGUGCGGACACUACGGGUUCGAGAACUAUGUAGACAUGACCGAGACAUGUCUCCGGCCAAUAACCAAUAGCGGAACCUAGAUGCUCAUAUUUGCUCCCACAUAUUCUAUGAAGAUCUUUAUCGGUCAAACCGUAUAACAACACACGUUGUUCCCUUUGUCAUCGGUAUGUUACUUGCCCGAGAUUCGAUCGUCGGUAUCACCAUACUUAGUUCAAUCUCAUUACCGACAAGUCUCUUUACUCAUUCCGUAAUGCAUCAUCCCGUAACUAACUCAUUAUUCACUUUUCUUGCAAGGCUUAUAGUGAUGUGCAUUACCGAGAGGGCCCAGAGAUACCUCUCCGAUAAUCGGAGUGACAAAUCCUAAUCUUGAUCUAUGCCAACUCAACAAGUACCAUCGGAGACACCUGUAGAGCACCUUUAUAAUCACCCAGUUACGUUGUGACGUUUGGUAGCACACAAAGUAUUCCUCCAGAAUUAGGGAGAUGCAUAAUCUCAUAGUCAUAGGAACAUGUAUAAGUCAUGAAGAAAGCAAUAGCAAGAAACUAAACGAUCAAGUGCUAAGCUAACGGAAUGGGUCAAGUUAAUCACACCAUUCUCUAAUGAUGUGAUCCCGUUAAUCAAAUCGCAACUCAUGUCUAUGGUUCAGAAACACAACCAUCUUUGAUUCAACGAGCUAGUCAAGUAGAGGCAUACUAGUGACAUUAUGUUUGUCUAUGUAUUCACACGUGUACUAAGUUUCCGGUUACUACAAUUCUAGCAUGAAUGAUAAACAUUUAUCAUGAUAUAAGGAAAUAUAGAUAACAACUUUAUUAUUGCCUCUAGGGCAUAUUUCCUUCAGUCUCAAACUUGCACUAGAGUCAAUAAUCUAGUUCACAUCGCCAUGUGAUUUAACACCAAUAGUUCACAUCACCAUGUGAUUAACACCCAUAGUUCACAUCGUCAUGUGACCAACAUCCAAAGGGUUUACUAGAUUCAGUAAUCUAAUUCACAUCGCUAUGUGAUUUAACACCCAAAGGGUACUAAGGUGUGAUCAUGUUUCGCUCAUGAGAGAAGUUUAGUCAACGGGUCUGUCACAUUCAGAGCCGUAUGUAUUUUGCAAAUAUUCUAUGUCUACAAUGCUCUGCAUGGAGUUACUCUAGCUAAUUGCUCCCACUUUAAAUAUGUAUCCAGAUUGAGACUUAGAGUCAUCUGGAUCAGUGUAAAAUCUUGCAUCGAUGUAACUCUUUACGAUGAGCUCUUUAUCACCUCCAUAAUCGAGAAACAUUUCCUUAGUCCGCACUAAGGACAAUUUUGACUGAUGUCCAGUGAUCUACUCUUAGAUCACUGUUGUAUCCCCUUUCCAAACUCAUGACAAGGAACACAAUAGGUCUGGUACACAUCACAACAUACUUUAUAGAACCUAUGACUGAGGCACAGGGAAUGAUUUUUCAUUCUCUUUCUAUUUUCUGCCAUGGUCGGGUUUUGAGUCUUACUCAAUUUCACACCUUGCAACACAGGAAAGAACUCCUUCUUUGACUGUUCCAUUUUGAACUACUUCAAAAUCUUAUCAAGGUAUGUACUCAUUGAAAAAUCUUCUCAAGCAUCUUGAUCUAUCUCUAUAGAUCUUGAUGCUUAAUGUGUAAGCAGCUUUACCGAGGUCUUUCUUUGAAAAACUCCCUUUCAAACACUCCUUUAUGCUUUCCAGAAAAUUAUACAUUAUUUCUGAUCAACGAUAUGUCAUUCACAUAUACUUAUCAGAAAGGCUGUAGUGCUCCCACUCACUUUCCUGUAAAUACAGGCUUCACCGCAAGUCUGUAUAAAACUAUAUGCUUUGAUUAACUCAUCAAAGCGUAUAUUCCAACUCCGAGAUGCUUGCACCAGUCCAUGGAUGGAUCACUUGAGCUUGCACACUUUGUUAGCUCCUUUAGGAUUGACAAAAACCUUCUGGUUGCAUCAUAUAAAACUCUUCUUUAAUAAAUCCAUUAAGGAAUCCAGUUUUGACAUGAUUUGGACAGACUUAAGCAUCGAUACGAGUGAGAAAAACUCACCUUGUCGAAAACCUUUUGUGACAAUUCAAGCUUUGUAGAUAGUAACACUACUAUUAGUGUCCGUCUUCCUCUUGAAGAUCCAUUUAUAUUCUAUGGCUUGCCGAUCAUCGGGCAAGUCAACCAAAGUCCACACUUUGUUCUCAUACAUUGAUCCCAUCUGAGAUUUCAUGGCCUCAAGCCAUUUUGCGGAAUCUGGGCUCAUCAUUGCUUCCUCAUAGUUCGUAGGUUCAUCAAGGUCUAGUAACAUGACUUCCAGAAUAGGAUCACCAUACCACUCUGGUGCGGAUUGUACUCUAGAAGACCUACGAGGUUCGGUAAUAACUUGAUCUGAAGGUUCAUGAUCAUCAUCAUUAGCUUCCUCACUAAUUGGUGUAGGAAUCACUGGAACUGAUUCUUGUGAUGAACUAUUUUCCAAUUCGGGAGAAGGUACAAUUACCGCAUCAAGUUCUACUUUCCUCCCACUCACUUCUUUCGAGAGAAACUCCUUAUCUAGAAAGGAUCCAUUAUUAGCAAUGAAUAUCUUGCCUUCGGAUCUGUGAUAGAAGGUGUACCCAACAGUUUCCUUUGGGUAUGCUAUGAAGAUGCAUUUCUCCGAUUUGGGUUCGAGCUUAUCAGGUUGAAGCUUUUUCACAUAAGCAUCACAACCCCAAACUUUAAGAAACGACAACUUUGGUUUCUUGCAAAACCACAAUUCAUAAGGCGUCAUCUCAACAGUUUUUGAUGGUGCCCUAUUUACAGUGAAUGCAGCUGUCUCUAAUGCAUAACCCCAAAAAGAUAGUGGUGACCUAGUAAGAGACAUCAUAGAUCGCACCAUAUCCAAUAAAGUGUGGUUACGACGUUCGGACACACCAUAACGCUGUGGUGUUCUAGGUGGCGUGAGCUGUGAAACUAUUCCACAUUGUUCUAAAUGAAGCCCAAACUCAUAACUCAAAUAUUCUCCUCCACGGUCAGAUCGUAGAAACUUUAUUUUCUUGUUAUGAUGAUUCUCCACUUCACUCUGAAAUUCUUUGAACUUUUCAAAUGUUUCAGACUUGUGUUUCAUUAAGUAGAUAUACCCAUAUCUGCUCAAAUCAUCUAUGAAGGUCAGGAAAUAACGAUACCUGCCACGAGCAUCAACACUCAUCGGAACACAUACAUCAGUAUGUAUUAUUUCCAAUAAGUUAUUAGCUUGUUCCAUUGUUCCAGAGAACGGAGUUUUAGUCAUCUUGCCCAUAAGGCACGGUUCGCAAGCAUCAAAUGAUUCAUAAUCAAGUGAUUCCAAAAGUCCAUCUUUAUGGAGUUUCUUCGUGCGCUUUACACCGAUAUGACCCAAACGGCAGUGCCACAAAAAUGUUGCACUAUCAUUAUUAACUUUGCAUAUUUUGGCAUCAAUAUUAUGAAUAUGUGUAUCACUACGAUCAAGAUUCAAUAAACCAUCAACAUAGGGUGUAUGACCAUAGAAGGUUUUAUUCAUGUAAACAGAAUAACAAUUUAUUCUCUAUCUCAGAUGAAUAAUCGUAUCGCAAUAAACAUGAUCUAAUCAUAUUUUAUGCUCAAUGCAAACACCAAAUAACAUUUAUUUAGGUUCAACACUAAUCUCGAAAGUAUAGGGAGAGUGCGAUGAUGAUCAUAUCAAUCUUGGAACCACUUCCAACAUACAUCGUCACUUCACCCUCAACUAGUCUUUGUUUAUUCUGUAACUCCUGUUUCGAGUUACUAAUCUUAGCAACCGAACAAGUAUCAAAUACCUAGGGGCUACUAUAAACACUAGUAAGGUACACAUCAAUAACCUGUAUAUCAAAUAUACCCUUGUUCACUUUGCCAUCCUCAUCCACUAAUUAUUCAGGGCAUUUCCGCUUCCAGUGACCAUUUCCUUUGAAGUAGAAGCACUUAGUUUCAGGCUUUGGUCCAGCUCUGGGAUUCUUCAUGGGAGUGACAACUUGCUUGCCAUUCUACUUGAAGUUCCCUUUCUUUCCCUUUGCCCUUUUCUUGAAACUAGUGGUCUUGUCAAUCAUCAACACUUUGAUGCUCUUUCUUGAUUUCUACCUUCAUCGAUUCAGCAUCACGAAGAGCUUGGGAUUCGUUUGCGUCAUCCCUUGCAUACUAUAGUUCAUCACGAAGUUCCAGUAACUUGGUGAUGGUGACUAGAGAACUCUGUCAAUCACUAUAUUAUCUAGAAGAUUAACUCCCACUUGAUUCAAGCGAUUGUACUACCUAGAAAAUCUGAGCACAUGCUCACUUCUUGAGCUAUUCUCCUCCAUCUUUUAGCUAUAGAACUUGUUGGAGACUUCAUAUCUCUCAACUCGGGUAUUUGCUUGAAAUAUUAACUUCAACUCCUGGAACAUCUCAUAUAGUCCAUGACGUUCAAAACGUCUUUGAAGUCCUGAUCCUAAGCCAUUAAGCAUGGUGCACUAAAUUAUCAAGUAGUCAUCAUAUUGAGCUAGCCAAACAUUCAUAACAUUUGCAUCUGCUCCUGCAAUAGGUCUGUCACCUAGUGGUGCAUCAAGGACAUAAUUUUUGUGUGCAGCAAUGAGGAUAAACCUCUGAUCACGGACCCAGUCCGCAUCAUUGCUACUAUCAUUUUCAACUUAGUUUUCUCUAGGAACACAUAUAAAAACAUAGGGAAUGAUACGUCCAUUUUGCAUCAUGCUUUUAUGUCACUAUUUAUUGCAUUAUGGGCUGUUAUUUCACGUUAUGUCACAAUACUUAUGGCUAUUCUCUCUUAUUUUACAAGGUUUACAUGAAGAGGGAGAAUGCCGACAGCUGGAAUUCUGGGCUGGAAAAGGAGCAAAUAUUGAAGGACUAUUCUGCGCAACUCCAAAAGUCCUGAAACUCCACGGAAUGUAUUAAAAUAAAUAAAGAAAAAUCUUUGCCAAAGAUGAAGGCCAUGGGGCCCACACCCUGCUCACAAGGGUGGGGGGCGCCCCCCCCCCCCCGGGCGCGCCCCCUACCUUGUGGGCCCCCUGGUGGCUCUACGACGUCCAUCUUCUCCUAUAUGAAGUCUUUCGAUGAGAAAAAAAAUAGAAGGCAACCUUUCGGGACGAGACUCCGCCGCCACGAGGCGGAACAUUGGCGGAACCAAUCUAGGGCUCCGGCAGAGCUGUUCUGCCGGGGACACUUCCCUCCAGGAGGGGGAAAUCAUCACCAUCGUCAUCACCAAUGCUCCUCUCAUCGGGAGAGGGCAAUCUCCAUAAACAUCUUCACCAGCACCAUCUCAUCUCCAAACCCUAGUUCAUCUCUUGUAUCCAAUUCUUGUCUCCAAGUUCGGGAUUGGUGCUAGUAGGUUGCUAGUAGUGUUGAUUACUCCUUGCAGUUGAUGCUAGUUGGUUUAUUUGGUGGAAGAUCAUAUGUUCAGAUCCUUUAUGCACAUUAUUACCCCGCUGAUUAUGAACAUGAAUAUGCUUUGUGAGUAGUUACGUUUGUUCCUGAGGACAAGGGAGAAGUCUUGCUAUUAGUAGUCAUGUGAAUUUGGUAUUCGUUCGAUAUUUUUAUAAGAUGUAUGUUGUCUAACCUCUAGUGGUGUUAUGUGAACGUCGACUACAUAACACUUCACCAUUAUUUGGGCCUAGAGGAAGGCAUUGGGAAGUAAUAAGUAGAUGAUGGGUUGCUAGAGUGACAGAAGCUUAAACCCUAGUUUAUGCGUUGCUUCGUAAGGGGCUGAUUUGGAUCCAUAUGUUUCAUGCUAUAGUUAGGUUUACCCUAAUACUUUUGUUGUAGUUGCGGAUACUUGCAAUAGAGGUUAAUCAUAAUUGGGAUGCUUGUCCAAGUAAGGGCAGUACCAAAGCACCGGUCCACACACAUAUCAAAUUAUCAAAGUACCAAACGCGAAUCAUAUGAGCGUGAUGAAAACUAGCUUGACGAUAUUCCCAUGUGUCCUCGGGAGCACUUUUCCUAUUAUAAGAGUUUGUCCAGGCUUGUCCUUUGCUACAAAAAGGAUUGGGCCACCUUGCUGCACUUUAUUUACUUUUGCUACUUGUUGCUCGUUACAAUUUAUCCUAUCACAAAACUAUCUGUUACCACUUAUUUCAGUACUUGCAGAGAAUACCUUGCUGAAAACCGCUUAUCAUUUCCUUCUGCUCCUCGUUGGGUUCGACACUUUUACUUAUCGAAAGGACUACAAUAGAUCCCCUAGACUUGUGGGUCAUCAAGACUCUUUUUUGGCACCGUUGCCAGGGAGUGAAGCGCCUUUGGUAGGUGGAAUUUGGUAAGAAAAAAUUUAUUUAGUGUGCUAAAAUUUUCUGUCACUUGUUACUAUGGAAAGUAAUUGUUUGUGGGGCUUGUUCGGGGUAUCUUCACCCCGUCCCGUUGAGCCAAGAGUUGCUCCUCAACCUACUAAACCUACUGAAAAUGAAACUCCUUUUCAAAUUCCUUCGGGUAUGAUGGAAAAACUGCUAUUUAACACUUUUGCAGGAGAUGGAACAAAGCAUCCUGACGAACAUCUACGCUAUGUGGAUGAUAUUUGUGGACUAUUUAAGCUUGCAGGUAUACCCGAUGAUGUUGUUAAGAAUAAGGCUUUCCCUUUAUCUUUGGAGGGAGACACAUUGACAUGGUAUAGGCUAUGUGAUGAUAUGAGAUCAUGGAACUAUAAAAGAUUGAAAUUGGAAUUUCAUCAAAAGUAUUACCCUAUGCAUCUUGUUCAUCGUGAUCGCAAUUAUAUAUAUAAUUUUUGGCCUUGCAAAGGAGAAAGCAUCGCUCAAGCUUGGUGGAGGCUUAAAUCAAUGUUAUAUUCAUGCCCCAAUCAUGAGCUCGCUAGAGAAGUGAUUAUGCAAAGUUUUUACGCUCGGCUUUCUGGUAACAAUCGCACCAUGCUCGAUACUUCUUGUGCUGGCUCUUUUAUGAUGAAGCCUAUUGAAUUUAGAUGGAAUUUAUUGGAUAGAGUUAAACACAACUCUGAAGAUUGGGACCUCGACGAAGGUAAGGAGUCAGGUAUGACACCUAAGUUUGAUUGUGUUAAAUCUUUUAUGGAUAUCGAUAUUUUCCGUAAGUUUAGCACUAAAUAUGGACUUGACUCUGAGAUAGUAGCUUCUUUCUAUGAAUCUUUUGCUACUUAUGUUGAUAUCCCCAGGGAGAAGUGGUUUAAAUAUCAUCCUCCCAUAGAAGUAAAAUUAGCUGCACCUAUUAAAGUUGAAGAAAAGACUGUCACUUACAAUGAUCCUAUUGUUCCCACUUCUUAUGUUGAGAAACCACCUUUCCCUGUUAGAAUGAAGGAUCAUGCUAAAGCUUCAACUGUUGUUCGUAAAAGCAAUACUUGGACUUAUACACCACCUGAGCAAGUCAAAGUAGAACCUAAUAUUGCUAUUGUUAAAGAUCUCUUGUCUGAUAAUAUUGAUGGGCAUGUUAUUCAAUUCUCUGGUGAAACUGCUAGAAUUGCUAAACCCUGUGAUAGAGAUAAACAUAGACCUGUGGUAGGCGUGCCUGUUAUUUUUGUUAAAAUAGGAGAUCAUUGUUAUCAUGGCUUAUGUGAUAUGGGUGCUAGUGCUAGUGUUAUAUCCAUUGACUUAUACAAAGAAAUUAUGCAUGAGAUUGCACCUGCUGAGUUAGAAGAAAUUGAUGUCACAAUUAAACUUGCCAAUAGAGAUACUAUUUCACUAGUGGGAAUUGUUAGAGAUGUUGAAGUCUUGUGUGGGAAAACCAAAUAUCCCACUGAUUUUCUUGUUCUUGGCUCUCCACAAGAUAGCUUUUGUCCCAUUAUAUUUGGUAGACCCUUCUUGAAUACUGUUAAUGCUAUGAUAGACUGCAAAAAGAAUGUUGUUACUGUUGGCUUGGAUGAUAUGGCUGAUGAUUUUAAUUUCUCUAAAUUUAGUAAACAACAUCGUGAGGAAGAAUUGCCUAGUAAGGAUGAAAUUAUUGGUCUUGCUUCUAUUGCCAUACCUCCUAGUGAUCCUUUAGAACACUAUUUGCUAGACCUUGAAAAUGAUAUGUUCAUGAAUGAAAGAAGGGAAAUAGAUGAAGUAUUCUUUAAACAGGAACCUAUUCUGCAACACAAUUUGCCUGUUGAAAGCCUAGGGGAUCGUCCUCCACCCAAGGGUGAUCUCGUGUUUGAGCUUAAACCGUUGCCUGAUAAUCUUAAAUAUGCUUAUCUUGAUGAAAAGAAAAUAUAUCCUGUCAUUAUUAGCGCUAACCUUUCAGAGCAUGAAGACGAAAGAUUAUUGAAAACUCUGAAGAAGCACCGUGCCGCUAUUGGAUAUACUCUGGAUGAUCUUAAGGGCAUCAGUCCCACUCUAUGUCAACAUAAAAUAAAUUUGGAAGCUGAUGCCAAACCAUCUUGUGAUCCUCAACGACGUUUGAAUCCUAAAAUGAAAGAAGUGGUAAGAAAGGAAAUACUCAAGCUUCUGGAGGCAGGUAUAAUUUAUCCCAUUGCUGAUAGUCAGUGGGUAAGUCCUGUCCAUUGUGUCCCUAAGAAGGGAGGUAUUACUGUUGUCCCUAAUGAUAAAGAUGAAUUGAUUCCGCAAAGAAUUAUCACAGGGUAUAGGAUGGUAAUUGAUUUCCGCAAAUUAAAUAAGGCUACUAAGAAAGAUCAUUACCCCUUACCUUUUAUUGAUCAAAUGCUAGAAAGAUUAUGCAAACAUACACAUUAUUGCUUUCUAGAUGGUUAUUCUGGUUUUUCUCAAAUACCUGUGUUGGCUAAAGAUCAAUCAAAGACUACUUUUACAUGCCCUUUUGGUACUUUUGCUUAUAGACGUAUGCCUUUCGGUUUAUGUAAUGCACCUGCUACCUUUCAAAGAUGCAUGAUGGCUAUAUUCUCUGACUUUUGCAAGAAAAUUUGUGAGGUUUUCAUUGAUGACUUUUCUGUCUAUGGUUCCUCUUUUGAUGAUUGCUUGAGCAAUCUUGCUCGAGUUUUGCAGAGAUGCGAAGAAACUAAUCUUGUCUUGAAUUGGGAAAAGUGCCACUUUAUGGUGAAUGAAAGUAUUGUCUUGGGGCACAAAGUUUCUGAAAGAGGUAUUGAAGUUGAUAAAGCCAAGGUUGAUGCUAUUGAAAAGAUGCCAUGUCCCAAGGACAUCAAAGGUAUAAGAAGUUUCCUUGGUCAUGCCGGAUUUUACAGAAGGUUCAUUAAGGACUUCUCAAAAAUCUCUCGGCCUCUGACCAAUUUAUUACAAAAAGAUGUACCAUUUGUCUUUGAUGAUGAUUGUGUAGAAGCAUUUGAAAUACUUAAGAAAGCAUUAGUCUCUGCACCUAUUGUUGAGCCACCUGAUUGGAAUUUACCCUUUGAAAUUAUGUGUGAUGCUAGUGAUUAUGCUGUAGGUGCUGUUCUAGGGCAAAGAGUUGAUAAGAAAUUGAAUGUUAUCCAUUAUGCUAGUAAGACUCUAGACAAUGCUUAAAGGAAUUAUGCUACUACCGAAAAGGAACUUUUAGCAGUUGUAUUUGCUUGUGAUAAAUUCAGACCCUAUAUUGUUGAUUCUAAAGUAACUAUUCACACAGAUCACACUGUUAUUAAAUAUCUUAUGGAAAAGAAAGAUGCAAAACCUAGACUUAUUAGAUGGGUUCUCUUGCUGCAAGAAUUUUAUUUACAUAUAGUUGAUAGAAAAGGAGCUGAGAACCCCGUUGCAGACAACUUGUCUAUGUUAGAGAAUGUUCUUGAUGACCCACUACCUAUUGAUGAUUGCUUUCCUGAUGAACAAUUAAAUUUCAUAAGUACUUCUCGUAGCACUCCAUGGUAUGCUGAUUAUGCUAAUUAUAUUGUUGCUAAAUUUAUACCACCUAGCUUCACAUACCAACAAAAGAAAAAGUUUUUCUAUGAUUUGCGACAUUACUUUUGGGAUGACCCACAUCUUUACAAAGAAGUCGUAGAUGGUGUUAUUAGACGUUGUGUACCUGAGCAUGAACAGGAACAGAUCCUACGCAAGUGUCACUCCGAGGCUUAUGGAGGACACCACACUGGAGAUAGAACUGCACAUAAGGUAUUGCAAUCCGGUUUUUAUUGGCCUACUCUCUUCAAGGACGCCCGUAAGUUUGUUUUGUCUUGCGACGAAUGUCAAAGAAUUGGUAAUAUUAGUAGACGUCAAGAAAUGCCUAUGAAUUAUUCACUUGUUAUUGAACCAUUUGAUGCUUGGGGCUUUGAUUAUAUGGGACCUUUUCCCGCCUCUAAUGGUUAUACACAUAUUUUAGUUGCUGUUGAUUACGUUACUAAGUGGGUAGAAGCUAUUCCAACUAGUAGUGCUGAUCAUAACACUUCUAUAAAAAUGCUUAAGGAAGUUAUUUUUCCGAGGUUUGGAGUCCCUAGAUACUUAAUGACUAACGGUGGUUCACACUUUAUUCAUGGUGCUUUCUGUAAGACGCUUGCUAAAUACGACGUUAAUCAUAGAAUUGCAUCUCCAUAUCACCCGCAGUCUAGUGGUCAAGUAGAAUUGAGCAAUAGAGAGCUCAAAUUAAUUUUGCAGAAGACUGUCAAUAGGUCUAGAAAGAAUUGGUCCAAAAAACUUGAUGAUAGGCCUAUAGAACUGCAUACAAAAAUCCUAUGGGUAUGUCUCUGUAUAAAAUGGUUUAUGGAAAAGCAUGUCACUUACCUCUCGAACUAGAACAUAAGGCAUAUUGGGCUAUUAAAGAGCUCAACUAUGAUUUCAAACGUGCCAGUGAGAAGAGGUUAUUUGAUAUUAGCUCACUUGAUGAAUGGAGAACCCAAGCUUAUGAAAAUGCCAAGUUGUUUAAAGAAAAGGUUAAAAGAUGGCAUGACAAAAGGAUACAAAAACAUGAGUUUAAUGUAGGUGAUUAUGUAUUGCUAUACAACUCUCGUUUAAGAUUUUUUGCAGGAAAACUUCUCUCCAAAUGGGAAGGUCCUUAUGUUAUCGAGGAGGUCUAUCAUUCCGGUGCCAUAAAAAUCAACAACUUCGCAGGCACAAAUCCAAAGGUGGUAAACGGUCAAAGGAUCAAACACUAUAUCUCAGGUAAUCCUAUAAAUGUUGAAACUAAUAUUAUUGAAACCGUAACCCCGGAGGAAUACAUAAAGGACACUUUCCAGAAUGUUCCAGACUCCGAAAAGGAAUAGGUAUGUGCUACGGUAAGUAAACCGACUCCAAAACAAUUUUUAAGGCAAUAUUUCUCCGUUUUGGAAUAUUUAGAAAAAUAGAAAAAUAAGUAGCAGUCCGGGGAGGACAUGAGGCCUCCACGAGAGUGGAGGGCACGCCCUACCCCCCUGGGCGCGCCCCCUACCUCGUGAGCACCUCGUGUUCCCUCUGGACUCUGUUUCCUUGCACGAUACGUAUUUUGGUCCGUAAAAAUUCAUUAUAUAUACUCCCGAAGGUUUUGACUCUCAUAUCACGCAAAUCUCCCCUGUUCUUGUUUCGAGCUGUUUUUCUGACAGGUCUAGAUCAUGAUGACGACCCCAAGUGCUUCCAAGGACAAGUUCUUUGAGAAGGUGAUCAACCCUUACCUCGCGGAGGUGCUGCGACACCCUCAAACCAUUGAGAUGCGUGAUGGGUUGCUGCACAUCCACGAUGUUGAGGGACCAAAGGGAACCGGAAGCAUGGAGUUGAGGCUCGAAGCAAUGGAGCAACAAGUUUUCAAGUGCCAGGGGAUGGUGGAGCGUGGAAUCAACGCUACACACAAGAUGCUCGCGGAGUUCACCAACAACUAUGAGCCGGAUGCCAAGAAGACCGAGGAAGCCAUCUUCAAGCUACAUGAGAAGAUCGAGCACCUCCAAGCCCAAAUCUAUGAUCUGCAAAACCAAAACUGUGAGUAUGAAUAUAGAUUCAAAAGGAUGAGUUUGGCUGCAGAUUUGAGGAUUCCGGAGACUCGAUCAUCCUUCUAUGAUGGUGAGCCUAUGCCAUGGAAGGUGGACGACAAGCUUGCAUCAUCAUCAACACCUCCACCGCCAACAACAAGGAAGGAGACAUAAUCACAUGGGUAUGGGCACUCCCCUUGGCAACUGCCAAGCUUGGGGGAGGUGCCCUGGUAUCGUAUCACCAUCACAACUCCUACCUUUACCGUUUUUGUUAGUUCGAUCCUAUUAGUAGUAUCUUGAUUUAGUAGAAUAAAGUCAUGGCAUGAUCUAGUUUUGAGUUUUGCUUUAUGAUCCUUCUUUGCAAUCGAGUCCGUGAGCUAUAUAAUAAAAAUUAGUGUUGAGUCAAGGGCUUGAGUAUUUUGCCAUGAUCUUGGGUGAUUAGAAGAAAAAGAAUAAAAAGAAUCAAAGAGUUCAUAUUUAUCUUAUUGAAAGUAAUGACUCCACAUAGAAAGAAUAUGAUGAUUAAAAGUUGUUGGGAGUUGAUAAAUAUAGCUUUGGUCAUCGUUGCAAUUAAUAGGAAGUAAUAAGGAAAGAGAGGUUUCACAUAUAGAUAUAUUAUCGUUGACAUCUUUUAUGAUUGGGAGCACUCAUUAAAAUAUGACAUGCUAAAGAGUUGAUGUUGGACAAGGAAGACAACAUAGUGAGUUAUGUUUUCUUACAUCUGAGAUAAAGUAUGUUGUCAUGGAUCCUCUAUCGUGUUGAGCUUGCCUUUCCCCCUCAUGCUAGCCAAAUUCUUAGCACCAAGUAGAAAUACUACUUGUGCUUCCAAAUACCCUUAAACCAGUUUUGCCAUAAGAGUCCACCAUAUCUACCUAUGGAUUGAGUAAGAUCCUUCAAGUAAGUUGUCAUCGGUGCAAGCAAUAAAAAUUGCUCUCUAAAUAUGCAUGACUUAUUAGUGCGGAGAACAUAAACUUUGUACGAACUUGUUGUGGACGCAAUAAAAGCGACGGACUGCAUAAUAAAGGUUUACAUACAAGGGGCAAUAUAAAGUGACGUUCUUUUGCAUUAAAAUUUUGUGCAUCAACCCUAAACGUGCAUGACAACCUCUGCUUCCCUCUGCGAAGGGCCUAUCUUUUAUUAUUAUCCUCUACCUUAUGCAAGAGUCACGGUGAUCUUCACCUUUCCCUUUUUAUUUUAUCCUUUGGCAAGCUCAGCAUGUUGGAAAGAACAUGAUAUAUAUAUCUAACUGGAUGUGGGGGAGCAUGAAUUAUUAUUGUUGACAUUACCCUUGAGGUAAAAGGUUGUGGGGCAAAACUAUAAGCCCCUAUCUUUCUCUGUGUCCGAUUAAAACUCCGUAACUACAAGUAUUGCGUGAGUGUUAGCAAUUAUGAAGGACUAAGUGAUAGUUGAGUAUGUGGACUUGCUUUUAAGCUCUGACAUAGACUCUUUCCGACGUUAUGAUAAAUUGGAAUUGUUUCAAUGAAUGAGGGUAUAAUUUGUUGGUGCUCAAUAAGGUUUCUGAUUCAUACUUUGGCUUUGUGAAAAAAUCAUCAUUUGAACUUGAGUAAUCAUACGACGAAAUCUUUAUAUGUUGCUGUUAUGAAAUAAUCAUGAUGCCUUCAUGUCCGUAUUUUAUUUUUAUCGACGCCUCUACCUCUAAACAUGAGGACAUAUUUAUUGUUAUCGGCUUUUCGCUUGAGGACAAGCGAGGUCUAAGCUUGGGGGAGUUGAUACGUCCAUUUUGCAUCAUGCUUUUAUGUUAAUAUUUAUUGCAUUAUGGGCUGUUAUUUCACGUUAUGUCACAAUACUUAUGGCUAUUCUCUCUUAUUUUACAAGGUUUACAUGUAGAGGGAGAAUGCCGGUAGCUGGAAUUCUGGGCUGGAAAAGGAGCAAAUAUUGAAGGACUAUUCUGCGCAACUCCAAAAGUCCUGAAACUCCACGGAAUGUAUUAAAAUAAAUAAAGAAAAAUCUUCGCCAAAGAUGAAGGCCAGGGGGCCCACACCCUGCUCACAAGGGUGGGGGGCGCCCCCCCGGGUGUGCCCCCUACCUCGUGGCCCCCCUGGUGGCUCUACGACGUCCAUCUUCUCCUAUAUGAAGUCUUUCGAUGAGAAAAAAAAUAGAAGGCAACCUUUCGGGACGAGACUCCGCCGCCACGAGGCGGAACAUUGGCGGAACCAAUCUAGGGCUCCGGCAGAGCUGUUCUGCCGGGGACACUUCCCUCCAGGAGGGGGAAAUCAUCACCAUCGUCAUCACCAAUGCUCCUCUCAUCGGGAGAGGGCAAUUUCCAUCAACAUCUUCACCAGCACCAUCUCAUCUCCAAACCCUAGUUCAUCUCUUGUAUCCAAUUCUUGUCUCCAAGUCCAGGAUUGGUGCUAGUAGGUUGCUAGUAGUGUUGAUUACUCCUUGUAGUUGAUGCUAGUUGGUUUAUUUGGUGGAAGAUCAUAUGUUCAGAUCCUUUAUGCACAUUAUUACCCCUCUGAUUAUGAACAUGAAUAUGCUUUGUGAGUAGUUACAUUUGUUCCUGGGGACAAGGGAGAAGUCUUGCUAUUAGUAGUCAUGUGAAUUUGGUAUUCGUUCGAUAUUUUGAUAAGAUGUAUGUUGUCUAACCUCUAGUGGUGUUAUGUGAACGUCGACUACAUAACACUUCACCAUUAUUUGGGCCUAGAGGAAGGCAUUGGGAAGUAAUAAGUAGAUGAUGGGUUGCUAAAGUGACAGAAGCUUAAACCCUAGUUUAUGCGUUGCUUCGUAAGGGGCUGAUUUGGAUCCAUAUGUUUCAUGCUGUGGUUAGGUUUACCUUUAUACUUUUGUUGUAGUUGCGGAUGCUUGCAAUAGAGGUUAAUCAUAAGUGGGAUGCUUGUCCAAGUAAGGGCAGUACCCAAGCACCGAUCCACCCACAUAUCAAAUUAUCAAAGUACCGAACGCGAAUCAUAUGAGCGUGAUGAAAACUAGCUUGACGAUAUUCCCAUGUGUCCUCGGGAGCGCUUUUCCUAUUAUAAGAGUUUGUCCAGGCUUUUCCUUUGCUACAAAAAGGAUUGGGCCACCUUGCUGCACUUUAUUACUUUUGCUACUUGUUGCUCGUUACAAUUUAUCAUAUCACAAAACUAUCUGUUACCACUUAUUUCAGUACUUGUAGAGAAUACCUUGGUGAAAACCGCUUAUCAUUUCCUUCUGCUCCUCGUUGGGUUCGACACUCUUACUUAUCGAAAGGACAAUGAUAGAUCCCCUAUACUUGUGGGUCAUCAGGGAAGCAACAACGCGAGCUAUUAAUCUACAAUAUUAUUUGCAAAAUACUAUCAGGACUAAGUUCAUGAUAAAUUAAAGUUCAAUUAAUCAUAUUACUUAAGAACUCCCACUUAGAUAGAGAUCCCUCUAGUCAUCUAAAUGAUCAUGUGAUCUAAAUCAACUAAACCAUGUCCGAUCAUCACGUGAAAUGGAGUAGUUUUCAAUGGUGAACAUCACUAUGUUGAUCAUAUCUACUAUACGAAUCACGCUCAACCUUUCGGUCUCAGUGUUCUGAGCCCAUAUCUGCAUAUGCUAGGCUCGUCAAGUUUAACCCGAGUACUUCUGGUUGUGCAAAACUGGCUUGCACCCGUUGUAUGUGAACGUAGAGCAUAUCACACCCGAUCAUCACGUGGUGUCUCGGCAGGACGAACUUUGGCAAUGGUGCAUACCCAGGGAGAACACUUGUACCUUGAAAUUUAGUGAGAGAUCAUCUUAUAAUGCUACCAUCAAUCAAAGCAGAAUAAGAUGCAUAAAGGAUAAACAUCACAUGCAAUCAAUAUACGUGAUAUGAUAUGGCCAUCAUCAUCUUGUGCCUUUGAUCUUCAUCUCCAAAGCACCGUCAUGAUCACCAUCGUCACCGCCUCGACACCUUGAUCUCCAUUGAAGCAUCGUUGUCUUCUCGCCAACUAUUGCUACUAUGACUAUCGCUAUCGCUUAGUGAUAAAGUAAAGCAAUUGCAGGGCGAUUGCAUCGCAUACAAUAAAGCGACAACCAUAUGGCUCCUGCCAGUUGCCGAUAACUUCAUUACAAAACAUGAUCAUCUCAUACAAUAAAAUAUAGCAUCAUGUCUUGACCAUAUCACAUCACAAUAUGCCCUGCAAAAACAAGUUAGACAUCUUCUACUUUGUUGUUGCAAGUUUUACGUGGAUGCUACGGGCUGAGCAAGAACCGUCCUUACCUACGCAUCAAAACUACAACAAUAUUUUGUGAAGUUAGUGUUGUUUUAACCUUCAACAAGGACCGGGCGUAGCCACACUCGAGUCAACUGAAGUUGGAGAAACUGACACCCGCCAGCCACCUGCGUGCGAAGCACGUCGGUAGAACCAGUCUCGCGUAAGCAUACGCGUAAUGUCGGUCCGGGCCGCAUCAUCCAACAAUACCGCCGAAUCAAAUUAUGACAUGCUGGUAAGUUGUAUGACUAGUAUCGCCCACAACUCACUUGUGUUCUACUCGUGCAUAUAACAUCUACGCAUAAACCUGGCUCGGAUGCCACUGUUGGGGAACAUAGUAAUUUAAAAAAAUAAAAUCCUACGCACACGCAAGAUCAUGGUGAUGCAUAGCAACGAGAGGGGAGAGUGUCAUCCACGUACCAUCAUAGACCGUAAGCGGAAGCGUUAUGACAACGCGGUUGAUGUAGUCGAACGUCUUCACGAUCGACCGAUCAUAGUACCGAAUGAAUGGCACCUUUGUGAUCUGCACACGUUCAGCUCGGUGACGUCCCACUAACUCACGAUCCAAUAGAGCUUCAAGGGAGAGUUCUGUCAGCACGAUGGUGUGACGACGGUGUUGAUGAAGCUACCGAUGCAGGGCUUCACCUAAGCACCGCUACGACAUGACCGAGGUGGAUUAUGGUGGAGGGGGCACCGCACACGGCUAAAAGAUCAAUGAUCAACUUGUGUGUCUAUGGGGUGCCCCUCCCCGUAUAUAAAGGAGUGGAGGAGGGGGAGGGCUGGCCCUCUAAUAUGGCGUGCCCUGGGGAGUCCUACUCCCACCGGGAGUAGGAUUCCCCCCUUCCAAGUAGUAGUAGUAGGAGAGAAGGAAAGGGAAGAGAGAAGAGAAGGAAGGAGGGGGCGCCGCCUCUCCCCCUAGUCCAAUUCAGACUAGGCCUUGGGGGGCGCGCGGCCUGCCCUCUCUCUCCCUUAAAGCCCAAUAAGGCCCAUAUACUCCCCGGCAAAUUCUCAUAACUCUCCGGUACUCCGAUAAAUACCCGAACCACUCAGAACCUUUCUGAUGUCCGAAUAUAGCCUUCCAAUAUACCGAUCUUUACGUCUCGAACAUUUUGAGACUCCUUGUCAUGUCCAUGAUCUCAUCCGGGACUCCGAACUACCUUCGGUACAUCAAAUCACAUAACUCAUAAUACAAAUCGUCAUCGAACGUUAAGCGUGCGGACCCUACAGGUUCAAGAAUUAUGUAGACAUGACCGAGACAUGUCUCCGACCAAUAACCAAUAGCGGAACCUGGAUGCUCAUAUUAGCUCCUACAUAUUCUAUGAAGAUCUUUAUUGGUCAAACCGCAUAACAACAUACGUUGUUCCCUUUGUCAUCGAUAUGUUACUUGCCCGAGAUUCGAUCGUCGGUAUGACCAUACCUAGUUCAAUCUCGUUACCGGCAAGUCUCUUUAAUCGUUCCGUAAUUCAUCAUUCCGCAACUAACUCAUUAGUCACAUUGCUUGCAAGGCUUAUAGUGAUGUGCAUUACCGAGAGGGCCCAGAGAUACCUCUCCGACAAUCAGAGUGACAAAUCCUAUUCUUGAUCUAUCCCAACUCAAAAUGUACCAUCGGAGACACUUGUAGAGUACCUUUAUAAUCACCCAGUUACGUUGUGACAUUUGGUAGCACACAAAGUGUUCGUCCAGUAUUCGGGAGUUGCAUAAUCUCAUAGUCAUAGGAACAUGUAUAAGUCAUGAAGAAAGCAAUAUCAACAAACUAAACGAUCAUGUGCUAAGCUAACGGAAUGGGUCAAGUUAAUCACAUCAUUCUCUAAUGAUGUGAUCCCGUUAAUCAAAUGACAACUCAUGUCUAUGGCUAGGAAACACAACCAUCUUUGAUUCAACGAGCUAGUCAAGUAGAGGCGUACUAGUGACAUUAUGUUUGUCUAUGGGUUCACACAUGUACUAAGUUUCCGGUUAAUACAAUUCUAGCAUGAAUAAUAAACAUUUAUCAUGAUAUAAGGAAAUAUAGAUAACAACUUUGUUAUUGCCUCUAGGGCAUAUUUCCUUCACUUAGUGUGUGAAUCACCGUACAAAUACAUUCCUUCAUUCCCAAGCUUGUGUCCCCACUGCAUAGCACGAACACACUGCUACUGUAAUGUUUUCGAGCCUCCUACCAAUCUCUUCUUUGCUCUUGGACCGAUUUAUUUCUUCAUUUGGACUGAGGGUAGAAAGGUCCAUCUACUAGACAUGGUCGGCCCGGCCAGAACAUGCCGCUUGCACCCGUGCAAACAGUGAUCAUGCUUGUGUCACGCUAAUGGCAAGCUCUGGCUCGAUCUGGCCACUGUUCUCGUCCACUCCCUCGUCAUCUCGACAUCCAGCCUUGUCAAGGAGCUCCCUCAUGCUUGAAUGCAUCAUACCGUGCUCGGGCCCCUCCUGGUUCGCCAUGAAUGCGCUGCUAGUGCCAUGCCCGUGCCGCGUCCAGCCCCUGUACUCCAUUAGAGCACUUCUUGAGCUCGCCCGUGAUGCUCUAGGGAUCUCCCCCGCGCCUAUUUAAGCUGCCCCGAGGUCCUCCGCACCUCACUCACUCCUUCCUCGCCUCAUUUGCUCGCCGGAAGUUCCCAAUCCCGCCGUUUCUUCGCUGCUCCUCCUCGGCCAUCAACAGAGUUUGCUCCUCCCUGGCCACAUCGAGCCUCCUCUCGCCUCUCCUCCACCUCCAUUGAGUCCCCCUCCUCCCUGCAGACCGCCCCACCCCCUCCCCCCGCCGGAGACGACCCGCAUCACCAGCAACCUCCGUCGCCCCUGUCCUCCUCUCUGUCCUCCUCCGCCCCCACACCCUCCACUCCUCCCUGGCACCCCCUUCACCUCUGGACAGGUGCGGUAGGCCGCCCCGCACCCGCUGGUGUGCUCGCCGUGGCCGGAGGCCACCGGAGCCGGCCGGACCCUCGCCGCCUCCCUCCCCUGCUCCUCCUCUGUUUCACGGGAUAAUAAGCGAGGGAGGAAUAGGACGACCAUGCCUGCCCCCCUGCCAGUGGACCCCGCACAAGACAUAUUUCCCGCAAAGGCGCUUUCUAUUUUUCAGCCAGGGACCUGGUUGUGGGGAAACUUUUUACAAAUUGGUCCCUGGUGUUCAACCUCUCAUAUCUUUUCGACUGUAACUCUGAUUGAAUCCCCUUCAAGAGAGAAGAAUGUCCGGCGUUUCAUUCCGCAGCUUCAUCGCACUUCUCCCCGAAGUCUCCGUCACCCCCAGGCAAGCCACAACAGCCACUUGCAUGAUAGCCAUGAAGUAGCCUUGGUUUCCACUUGAAUAUAUAAUAAAAGUUUGCCCAUUAUCUGUUUGCUUGUUUGCUAAUACUGUUGUUGUUUCAAUUAUGCUCGUGGAUUCAGGUUCACCUUCAUGCUAUGUUCUGAUGCAUCUUGUUAUCUUUUACUACUUGCUAGUAUUAUUUUCUCAUGUUAUGCUUGUUAGUACUACAUGCUGGUAGUAGUGACGUUCAGUCUGAUGCAUGUUUACCAUCUGUUAUCCAGUACCGUUGCUAUGCAUGUUCCUUUGCACCUAGUUGGUUACAUUUUACUUGAUAGUGUUCUUGCUAUGUUCUUGCAUGGUAUUUAUUUACGAUGCUAGUAGUCAUGCUAUGCUCAUGGGUAAUGUUAUGCUUAUGAUCGUCAGUAUGCCAUGCUCAUUUGGUUUAAUGCUUCACUGUGGUUAUGCUCGAUUAAUAUGUUGCACCUCCAUGCUUAUGUUGAGAUCAUGCUCAUGGACUAUAGUUGCAUCAUAUUUUAUUAUGGCUCAGCUCAUUGCAUUCAAGUUUAACCGGAUAAUAACGAACUUGAACAACUGUUGGCUGAGUCAUGGUGCCACCAAAUUGAGCUGACCAGUGCAACCACAUUUGCCUUUUAUGGGAUGACCCUAACCCCAAAACGGCCAGGGAUCCAGAUGGAAGCAGAGCAAUGGCAAGCGUAAUCGCAACAAGAAGAAGAUGAUUAGAUCCUCGUUUCUCCUAGUUUAGUAUGCAUGUAAUUUCUUACUUUGGUGUGUGAAAAUGUUAUCUGUGUAGUCGCUUGUCUAAUUGUAUGCUUAAUUUGGUUAUGCAAUGCUGUCUUUUUAAGUAUAUAUGUUGAUGCUCUGUAGAUAGAGCAAAUCACAUCACACACGGACUAAACAAGGGAACCCGUCGGUGAUGAUUUCAUCAAUCACUGACAAUUGUAUACCACUAAUCGUUUGCUCACAACACAUAGGGCUAGCUAACAGGAAUCGUCUGUGUUGUUAUCGGUCUUCGCACACAUUUCUGAUUACGGACAUGUUUGCCGUGUAUCACACACAUCUUGUGAUAUUGAACCGUUUCUGUUCUCUUGUCUCAACGCAAAUAGUUCAUCCGAGUGAACCACAUGAUGUAUAUCGCACACACACCUUGAUCUGGCUGACUGUUUCUUUUGUGUUGCCUAAUCACAAAUAGUUCAUCCGAGUGAACCGUAUGCUGUGUAUCGCACACGCCUUCAUCUGGCUGCCUGUUUCUUUUGUUCCUCCGCAUCGCAAACGGUUAAUUGAACUGAACCGUAUGCCCUGCAUCGCACAUGCAUCUAAAAUCUGAACCGUGUUUGAUGCAGCCAUCAUCGCGAACAUUUUGCACAUUUUAGACGGUUCUCUGACACCAUUGUUUGUGAUUAUUGCAUCGCACACAGUUUCUCGAAGGGUCUCUGAUCGUAGUGUCGCGUUAGCAACAUCCUACAGUAGUGAAUGAGGCGAACUACCGCGGCGGCUGAGGCAGGCUUGGAGCGCAGCGGCUGAAGUGGCCAUCAGGGCGCUACCCGGAGGCGGGUCAGGGCCAGGUGAGGGCGGUGCCUUGCAACGGACCGCGUCAGCGCAGCGCGAAGCAAGGCGACUCGAUUGCUACAUCCGACACGGAAGGAAUGAGAAGCCGUCGACGGUGACUCAAUAAGUGCGAUGGCUCGGUGCCAGGGCUUCUCAGUGCCGGGGCGGCUCAUUGACUUAGCGAUCGCGGGAAUCAAAAGCGGCUCGGAGUUGGGUUGACAAGUCCAUAUCCAUCUGCUUCCCUUGGUCGUUGUUGGUUUUGAAGAUUCCUCUUUUUCUUUCUAGGAUGACACCAGAGCGGCAACAUCCGAAUCCAACUCCCGUCCCACGUCCUUGUUCUCGUUCUGGUUGGUUCGACUUUCCAUCUGACCAUGUAAGAGUUUCUGGUGGUAUUUUCUUUGCAUGAAUUUGCAUUGCUUGAUCUAAUAGCUUCUCCCAAAACAAAAAAAACAAGGAUAUGGCUUGUAGUGACUAGGCAGCCAUGGGUGAGAUAUUACAGCGGAAACCUUCUGUCCACCUCGGCUUCUAAUGGCAACAUAAUAAAAAUUGAUCUGGCUUCAUUAGAUCACCCUGCCGUGGUGGCGUGCACCAUGCAACCCUAAUUUCUUUGAUCUCAAUCUUGUAUAGGUCGGCUCCAAAGUUAAUCAUGUUCUAGAUCACAAAACAAUGAACUUGUCGGAUCUUCCUUAUCUGAUGAAAUUGCGAGCUUCUCGAACCCUAGGAGAGAUCCCUCCAAGAACUCAUCACCACCGUGCGCUGGCCCCACGGUGGGCGCCAACUGUCUUCGUUUUUUCGCGACAGAUGUCCUUAGUGUGAGGACUUAGUCGUGAGGCCAACGCAUCUAUGUGGUAGCUUGAGAGGGUUGACUGAGAUGAGAGACACGAGGUUUUACCCAGGUUCGGCCCCUCAUGGUGGAGGUAAAAGCCCACAUCCUGCUCCAUUGAUAUUGAUGAUGAUGAUGCUCACGAUUAUAAGGGUGCUCUUUUGCUACCUCUGUCUCGAGAGCUAUUGACUUGUUUGUCUCAACUUGUGAAACUUGUCCCUCUCGGGGUGCCCUGCUGCUCCUUAUAUAAGUAGGAGGGGCAGGCUACAGGACUUGUCCUAGUAGGAUUAGGAUUACUCUAUUACAAGUGGAGUCCUAGUCUUGCUUCUUCUUAAGGGAAUAUUCCUUAUGCCUUUCCUCUUAAGCCGCCUAUCAUAACACGAGCCGGCUGAUACGUCUCCAAUGUAUCUAUAAUUUUUUAUUGUUCCAUGCUAUUAUAUUAUCUAUUAUGGAUGUUAAUGGGCUUUAAUAUGCUCUUUUAUAUUAUUUUGGGACUAACCUAUUAACCGGAGGCCCAGUGCCACUUUCUGUUUUUUUGCCUAUUUUAGAGUUUUACCGAAAAGGAAUACCAAACGGAGUCCCAAUGGAAUGAAACCUUCGCGAUGAUCUUUCUUGGACCGAAAGCAAUCCAGAAGACUUGGAGUAGAAGUCUGGAACGCCACGAGGCGGCCACGAGGCAGGAGGGCGCACCCAAGGGGGGUAGGCACACCCCCACCCUCGUGGUCCCCUCGUAGCUCCACCGACGUACUUCUUUCGCCUAUAUAUAUAUACUCUUAUACCCUAGAAAUAUUAGGGGGAGCCACGAAACCACUUUUCCACCGCCGCAACCUUCUGUACCCGUGAGAUCCCAUCUUGGGGCCUUUUCGGGCGAUCUGCUGGAGGGGGAAUCGAUCACGGUGGGCUUCUACAUCAACACCAUAGCCUCUCCGAUGAAGCGUAAGUAGUCUACCAUAGACCUUCGGGUCCAUAGUUAUUAGCUAGAUGGCUUCUUCUCUCUCUUUGAUUCUCAAUACAAAGUUCUACUCGAUGUUCUUGGAGAUCUAUUUGAUGUAAUACUCUUUUCCGGUGUGUUUGUCGAGAUCCGAUGAAUUGUGGAUUUAUGAACAAGAUUAUCUAUGAUUAUUAUUUGGUUCUUCUUUGAAUUCUUAUAUGCAUGAUUUGAUAUCUUUGCAAGUCUCUUCGAAUUAUUGGUUUAGUUUGGCCUACUAGAUUGAUCUUUCUUGCAAUGGGAGAAGUGCUUAGCUUUGGGCUCAAUCUUGCGGUGCCCUUUCCCAGUGACAGUAGGGGAGGCAAGGCAUGUAUUGUAUUGUUGCCAUCAAGGAUAAAAAUAUGGGGUUUAUAUCAUAUUGCUUGAGUUUAUCCCUCUACAUCAUGUCAUCUUGCUUAAUGCAUUACUCCAUUCUUAUGAACUUAAUACUCUAGAUGCAUGCUGGAUAGCGGUCGAUGUGUGGAGUAAUAGUAGUAGAUGCAAAAUCAUUUCGGUCUACUUGACACAGACAUGAUGCCUAUAUUCAUGAUCACUGCCUUAGAUAUCUUCAUAAUUAUGGGCUUUUCUAUCAAUUGCUCGGCAGUAAUUUGUUCACCCACCGUAAUAGAUGCUAUCUUGAGAGAAGCCACUAGUGAAACCUAUGGCCCCCGGGUCUCUUUCCUAUUAUAUUACAUCUAUUUUAUUUACAUUGCAUCUCCUUUACUAUUUUUUAAUCUUUACUUUCCAAUCUAUACAACAAAAAUACCAAAAAUAUUUACUUUAUUAUCUCUAUCAUAUCUCACUUUUGUGAGUGAUCGUGAAGGGAUUGACAACCCCCUUAUCAUGUUGGUUGCAAGGUUCUUGAUUGUUUGUGCAGGUACUAGGUGACUUGUGCGUCAUCUCCUAUUGGAUUGAUACCUUGGAUCUCAAAACUGAGGGAAAUACUUAUGCUACUUUGCUUCAUCACCCUUUCCUCUUCAAGGGAAAACCAACACAUGCUCAAGAGGUAGCAAGAAGGAUUUCUGGCGCCGUUGCCGGGGAGAUCUAUGCCAAGUCAAGCCAUACCAAGUACCCAUCAUAAACUCUUCUCCCCCGCAUUACAUUAUUUGCCAUUCGCCUCUCGUUUUCCUCUCCCCCACUUCUAAAAUGAUUUUUUAAAACCAUUUGCCUUUUCUUCGCCCCUCUGGUGUUUGCCUCUUUUCGCUUGCUUCUUGUGUGCUGGUGUGUUGGAUUGAUUGUUUAUCACGAUGGCUCAAGAUAAUACUAAAUUGUGUGACUUUUCCAAUACCAACAACAAUGAUUUAUUAGCACUCCGUUUUCUCCUACUACCGAUGUUAAAUCUUGUGAAAUUAAUACCGCUUUGUUGAACCUUGUUAUGAAAGAUCAAUUUUCUGGCCUUCCUAGUGAAGAUCCCGCAACCCAUCUAAACAACUUCGUUGAUUUGUGUGAUAUGCAAAAGAAGAAAGAUGUGGAUAAUGGUAUUGUUAAAUUCAACCUAUUUCCGUUUUCUCUUAGAGAUCGUCCUAAAACUUGGUUCUCUUCUUUGCCUAAAAAUAGUAUUGAUUCAUGGAAUAAGUGCAAAGAUGCUUUUGUCUCUAAGUAUUUUCCUCCCACUAAGAUCAUCUCCCUUAGGAAUGAUAUUAUGAAUUUCAAGCACCUUGAUCAUGAGCAUGUUUCACAAGCUCGGGAGAGGAUGAAAUUAAUGAUACAUAAUUGUGGAUGAUCAUACAAAAAUUUUAUGCCAGAUUGAAUUUUGCUUCUAGAAAUCUUUUAGAUUCGGCCGUGGGAGGCACUUUUAUGGUAAUCAAUUUAGGAGAAGGUACUAAACUCCUAGACAAUAAUAAGGUUAAUUAUUCUCAAUGGCACACCAAAAGAUCUACUAGUAAAAAGGUUCAUGCAAUUGAAGAGACUAAUGUUUUGAGUGGAAAGAUGGAUGAACUUAUGAAAUUGUUUGCUAAUAAAAGUGUUUCUUCUGACCCUAAUGAUAUGCCUUUGUCCACUUGGAUUGAGAAUAAUAAUGAAUCUAUUGAUGUGAAUUUGGUUGGUAGGAACAAUUUUCGUAACAACGCAUAUAGAGGAAAUUUUAAUUCUAGGCCAUUUCCUAGUAAUUCCUCUAAUAAUUAUGGUAAUUCCUACAACAAAUCUUAUGGAAAUUUUAAUAAGAUGCCCUCUGAUUUUGAGAAUAGUGUUAAAGAAUUUAUGAGUCCACAAAAGAAUUUCAAUGCUUUGGUUUUAGAAAAAUUCCUUAUGAUUGAUGAGUUGGCUAGGAACGUGGAUAGAAUUUCUCUUGAUGUUGAUUCUUUGAAACUUAGAUCUAUUCCACCUAAGCAUGAUAUAAAUGAGCCUCUCAAAUCCAUGAGAAUUUCCAUUGAUGAGUGCAAAGAAAGAACCACUAGGAUGCAUGCUAAAAAGAUUGCUUUAUGAAAGCGUGUUCUUCUAGUUUUCAGGAUAAUAAUGAUGAAGAUCUAAAAGUGAUUGAUGUGACUCCUAUUAAAUCUUUCUUUUCCAAUAUGAAUCUUGAUAAAGAUGGGACUAGACACACUAGAAAAAAAAUACACUUCCGUGAUGAUACGUGUUUGUCACAGUAGGUCAUGUUUUCUGUCAUGCAUGUACAUCCAUGACGAUUUUAUGACAGGAUCAAGAUAGUCAUACUUGUGCUGUCGUAGAAGUGUUCCAUGACAUUACCAAUAUUAUCAUCAUGGAAGUGUCCACUUCCAUGAUGAUAAAUCGCGCGUCAUAGAAGUGUUUUCGUCAAGGGUGACCGACACUUGGCAUCCAUCAUAACGGAACACCGUUAAGGUAUUGGGUCCACUUUUGGAUCCGAUAACCCGUUAACAGCCCCAACCAAUGGGGAUUUUCCACGUGUAAAAUCAUCAUUGGCUGAAUGAAACAUGUGUCGGCUCACCGUUGGGACAGAUGUCAUCCACUCAUUGGACCGUAGGCGCCUAUGAUACAUCAACACGUGGCACGGCCCAAUAGAGGCCCAUUCCUAUGAAAAGGCCGACCCGUUUGACUUGGUCAAAAAGUGGCGGACCGGCCCACGGAAAGCCUGUUAAUGGCUUGUUCGCAUAUAGCCCACUUACAUCCCGCUAACCCAGGGCCUGUUAUGACCUAUCCGAAUUAGGCCUAGUAGCGUCAUCUGGGCCGUCCAAUAUGAUUCCAGACCAUUUUAACUUCCGGCCCAUGUAUGGCCCAUGACGUCUUUUGGCCCAUAUGAGGCCCUUUGUAACUCUUGGCCCAUUAAUGGUCCAUGGUGAAACUGGCCCGUAAUGAACAGUGUAUCACUUUAUACCCAUUAACGGCACGUGGUGAAACUGGCCCGUAAUGAACAGUGUAUCACUUUAUACCCGUCAACGGCCCAUUAUUUCGUUGGGCCAUUUCCAGCCCAUGUUAUCUUCCGGCCUUCUCAGGGCCCAUUUAUUCUUGGGCUCAUUUCCAGCAUUCGUUUACUUACGGCCCGUUAUUGUCAUUUUCUGCUUGUGGGCCAAAUUCAGCCCGUGGUUACAGUCGACCCGUUUGUGGCCCGUUAAUACGUUGGGCCGUUUUCAUAGCGUCAUCAAAUACGGUCGAUUAACGACGGCCCGUUAUGGUCGGCCCAUGAACGGACGAUUCUAGCUCUAGCCCGUUUAUGGCCAUAAUGCGGUAUGUUAUUGGCCCAUGUUUGGCCAACCGAUCAUACGGCCCGUAGAAGGCCUAUUGAUGAUACGGCCCGUAGAAGGCCCAUUGUUUCUACGCCCCGUAGAAGGUCCAUUGUUUCUACGGCCCUUAGAAGGCCAAUUUUUUCUGCGGCCCGUAGGAGGCCCAUGGUAACUACAGUAAAUAUGUAGCCCAUGGUUAUUAUGGCCUAGUUUUAAAAAAGAGGUUAUUGCGGCCACUAGCAAACCGCAGAAAAAGAACUGCACUGACUACAAGCAAACAAAUAAACAAGACAAUAAGGAAAUAAAUAAGCAAGUAACUUACGCUAGGCUAUCACGGCUAUUACACAUAUUACAUGUACUGGGCAUCAAAGUUCGCCACUAGUGCAAAUAUAGGGAACAAAGCACCAUCAUAUAUACUGGUUGUCAAAGUUGGCGACCAGUGCAAAUAAACGCCACAGCAAAACAAGUCUAGAACUGAAACCAAUUCAGAAGAGAUCAAGAAACAAUAUCCUGGGUACCCAUAAUGUUGGCAAGAUGCUUAGCAAGCUUAUUAACUUUCUCUUGUUUGGCACUUAAAUCCUCCAACACUUGCUGUUGCACCAGAUAGUAUGCAUAUGAAUUCUGCAGGGACUUCCUCAGUCCUUCGGCUUCUUGUCGCAUAACAUCUGAUCGAUGUCUUUCAACUUCAAGUUGAGAUUCAAGAACCUUAACUGAUUCAGGCAGCAAGUUCGAAGAGCUGGUGCCAGCAGUAGUAGUCAGUAACUCGAACACUACAUCAAGACAGGACUUUGGGGUCGUCUCAGUGUCUUCAAUAUAGUUUUAUUAGCUUUCUUGGAGACAAAUGGGGAUGUCUCACUAUCUUGAACCUUAUCUACAUUACUUCCUUUACCAUUGCAUAACGGGGUGCUCUUCUAUGAUAUUUUAUCCGCGUUCUAAAAGAGAAACAAACAAACACAUCAUAAGUUUACAAUGUAGUAUAUGAAACUCAUUAUGGUAAACCAGUUCAGUAGUAAGGUGGACAGGAUAACAACAUGAAACAAACAUAUAUCUAUGUAGUAUGGUCACUGUAUGGUCUAUAUCAUUCUAGUUUAUGUUGCCAAAUCAAGAUAGAUACAGUUCGAAUCAUAUCUAUUUAAGACAAAGUAGCAUAAACAGAAUAUAAGUGUGGGAAACUACAUAGCAAUAACAACACUUUUAAUGUGCAUGGCAUGAGAACAUAACUGUUUAUUCAAUUGAAACUGAAAUCAACAUAGAGCAAGUUACAACAGCAAACACGUUAAAGAAACAGGUUUAAAACAUACCUGUUGCGCCAUUGGUGUUUCAAUUGCAUCCUUCAAAUUUGAAAUUAGUUGGUAUGAGUAAAUACAAUGAUGCAAGAGCAAAGUAGUAUGAACCAUAGCUACGGAACCUGAACUAAGAGCAAUUCUUCUUCUGCUUUAAGCGUUGACUUGGGGUUCGGAGUGGUGGUCCUUGUGCUUUGGGCACUGCAGUUGCCUUACUAACUGCUCGUGUUUGGGGUGCUCUGUGGUGGAGACGAUGCUGUGUCAACUGGAACAGGGUUAGAAGGGAUGUAGCUGGUUCUCUGUCCAACUGGGUAGGGGUACAAUUUGCGUGAGUCUGGGUUAUGUGUGGUGGGGCUCGUUCUUGGGCAAGUACAACCAUGGUUCUAUCUGCAUCAACAGGUAGCACGAUCUUUUCUAAAGACUGUAUUUUUACUCCCACAUAUACUGCCAUCAGCCCCUCCAAUUGAAAUGGCUAAUAAACAAGAAAAGUAAUUGAAUGUAUAGACAUUGUAAGAUAGACAUGUGCAAUGGAUAGUAGGGAAGAAAAGAAGGCAUGAAAUAAUUCACAUUUAUGUUGUCUAACCAAACAGAAUAGCAGGACAAAAUUUCACAUAUAUGAGCUAAUUAAACAGGAUAGUAUCACACAAUUUAACAUGUAUGGUGGCUAACUAAAUAGGAUAGAAUGACAUUCCAACAACUUUAAUAGACACAUCGUAUAGUUAUAUCAUGUCAGAAUGACAUAAUUCAAAAUAUGAUGACUAUGUAAAGAGGAUGAGAUGAUAUAACUAUAUUAUGUCUUUAGAAAAUGGGUUGGCAUGCCAUAAUUCAGAUACAUGCUGUCUAUGUAAACAUCGUGGCAUGAUAUAAUUCAAAUAUAUGAUUUAUAUACUAAGGAAGUGAGCAGAGGGCAAUCACAUAUAUGUUGUGGAAACUAAGGAGAUGGCAUUCAAUAUUGUGUAUAUGUUGUAAAAACUAAGCAUUGCAAUACAACAUAUGCAUGAUAUGAGUAAUAUAACCCUGCCGAGUUUGAGCAUACACCUCAGGGGGAUAAUAGGACUGGUCAUCUGCCUCUGAAUCCUCCUCUGAAGAGCUAUUUGUAACUAGCAAGAUAUCUGCUUCAGCAGGUAGCAUUGUUUGCUCUGAAGACCUUGUUUUCACUCCAUAUUUUUCCAUCACCAAUUCAAAUGGCUGAUGCAUAGGAAGAGCAGUUGAAUAUACAAACAUUGUUGACAAAUGCAAUGAGAAAUACAAAAAAAGGACGACAUGAUAUAAUUCACAUAUAUGACGCUUGGCUAAACAGCAUGACAUUGCAUAAUUCACAUAUAUAAUGCCUUGCAAUAAGAUAGCAUUGCAUAAUUCACAUAUAGAAUGUCUUGCAACAAGAUGGCAUUACAUAAUUCACAUAUAUGGUAAUUAGACACUAAACAGGUGGCAUUCAGACAAAGCAUGUCUAAACUAAGCAAAUGACGUAGCAAUGCAAGAUACCAUACGCACGAUAUGAGCAACAUAACCCUGCCAAGUUAGAGCAUGCACCUCAGGGGGGGGGAUAGGACUGGUCAUCUAUCUCUGAAUCCUCCUCUGAGGAGCUAUUCGUAACCAGUAAGACAUGCGCUUCGUCAGAUAGCAUUGUCUGCUCUGAAGACCUUGUUUCCACUCCAGAUUUUUCCAUGACCGUGCCGAAUGGCUGAUGCACAGGAAGAGUAAUUGAAUGUACUAAAAUUGUUGACAAAUUUAACACGUAACAAAAAAAUGAUGGCAUGAUAUAAUUCACAUAUAAGAUGACUGGCUAACCAGGGUGGCAGUGCAAAAUUCACAUAUAUGAUGCCUGGCUAAACAAGAUGGCAUUGCAUGAUUCACAUAUACGAUAAAGAAACUAAACAGAUGGCAUUGACACAAAGCAUGUCUAAACUAAGCAGAUGACAUCUUUGAUGUAUACAGUAAGCAAUGCAAGGCACCAUAUGCAUGAUAUUACCAACAUCAGCAUGCCAAGUUAGAGCGAAGACCUCAGGGGGUAAAUAGAAGUUGUCAUCUCCUUCUGAAUCCCCCUCAGAACAGUUAUCUUCCUCUUGAUUACCCGAAAUGGGUGGAGGGGGGCUGCCUUUGAACCCACCAUGGAGCGACGUCUGCAUGAAAUUUUAUUGCCAUGCAAGGCUCGACUCUUUUGCUCUACAUGUUCAGUUCCAUUGUGUACAAUAACUGACAUGCAUAGGAAUAAAACAUAGUGAGAUUAUGUAAGGAGUGCAUGCAGAAAUCCAGAGUGAUGGUAGCAACAUGUGGAUAGACCCCAAUCCAAUGAUAGCAGGCAGAUUAUAGCUUUAGUUAAAAAAUACAAAUACUGGAUCCUUUAAUGUUUGUUUGCACCCAACAUGAUACUCAUAGUAGACACCCAAGAUUAAGCAGAUAGUAGACAAAUAGUACUGAUUGCUUCCCCAAUAUGUACCCCACAACCAUUUAAUAACUCAAGUUUCAGCAUUAUUUUGGACCUGACUCGGAGUCUAAUAGGCGAACACGACGAUAAAGUAGCAUGUCAUCAUAUUAAGUGAUGCAUAACAUAAGCAGACACGAAAGAGUGUGACCUUCUUGCGGACCCGUGUAGUCCUCAAGGCCAUCUUCUUAGUUGAUGAUGGUAAUGUAGUUGUCGUGGCUGCUGGUGGCGGGGAAGAAGAUCUAAGGCAGCGAAAGACAGUUUGGAGAGCGGAUCCCUGUUGUGGUGAACCCUUCUGUCGUUGGAGCAUCCGAGCUGGGGUGGAACACAGCGCCGCAGGAGCAGGACAAACCACACAAGGUUUUGUUUGACACAUAUCUGUAACAGAAGUAAUUGUGUAAGGGCCUGUUUGAAUUUGAGGAUUCUAACAACCCAGGGAUAGGAAAUAGGCAGGAAUAGGAUAGGAAUUCACGUGCAAAACAGAGAUUUUAAAAACAUAGGAUUUCUGCCAAUCUGGGUGUUUGAUUCACAAGAAUUGGAAACUCACAGGAUCCAAAGAGCACGGUGAGAUUAAGUCAAACCACAAGAAAAUGUAUGGUUAUAAUGCUAUUAUGCUACCAUCUCUUAGUCUUGUGCUUCAUGAAUAGGAAUUUGAAAAGGAGGACAAGUGGAAAUUAAAAUUCCUACGUUUUUUCUUUCAAGGAGACACUAAAGGAACAAAUCCUAUAGUUUUCCUUUGCUUCAUUCCUUUGCACCAAAUUCAUGAAUAGUAGUACCAUAGGAAACUUUCCAAUUCCUAUGUUUUUCAUUCACUUUUCCUUUCAAGCACUGGCGAUUCUAGUAGGCAGGCUUGAGCAAGGAAAAGCCUACACUAAAAAAUGUUUUUGUGCUACUUCUAUUACUUUGGACCCAGGCCACUGCCCUACUAGCUCAACUCCCAGGCCCAUCGACAAAUGCACAGCUCAAACGCACGGGUAUAAAUAAUGAUGGCGUGCAAGAGAGUCCAUCACAAAUAGAUAAGUUGCCUGGUACCUCACUGCUUGUCAUAUAGUAGGAUAAAAUAAUCGUAUUUCACAUUACUACGUGUGCUCAGUGGACAAUAUAUAUAACAUGUAGAGUAAAAAAGAUGCAACAAGUGUACAACCUCUAUGGCGAAGCCAUGUUGAUCUCAGCGUGAUUGGGUUGGCCGGUGAGGAUGCUCCGACUGACUUGACUGUCAGAGGUGGGGAAGAAGAUCUUAGGCGUCUCGAGAUGGAGGCCGAGGUACUACUCUGCUGUGAUGGAGGGUUUCAUCGUUGGAGCAGCUCCGGUGAGUUAUACGACGCCGAGGCUGAAGCAGGACAAGAGAGACAACAUUAACCUGAGUGGAAUUCUAAUAACAUCUUCAAUAGAUGACAUAGAAUACAUAACCACAAAGUGCUAGAUGUAAAAUACAUCAGCCGCUCAUCUCUGAACUUAACUGUCAAAACUGAAUUUAACUGUCAAAACUUAACUUAACUGUCAAAACUGAAUUUGCUGUCGAAACUAAAUUUUAUUGUCGAAACUGAAUGCACUAGAGGUGAGGCUACAUGUUAGUCGACUGAAUUUUUCAUCUCUGGUCAGUCGAUUUUGCAGCCGUUGGAUACGAAAUCAAGGGUCUGCAAUUCAUCUUCAACCUCCACCCCCCUGAGCCGCCAACCACCACUGGCCAAACAGCCGCCCCCCGCCACCCGUGGCCGGCGGUGCGCCGCCCCGCCCGCCCCGAAAACACUCCCCACCGCCGGUCCACCGCCGCCCCGGCCAUCCCUCUAGGCCCCCCGUGCCGAGCUUUUUCUCCGGUAAUCUCCAAGCCACCGCCCCACCACCGCCGGCGACCACGGCCCCCACCCUUAACCCUAAGAUAGAUAGUGGGGUACCUUUCCGGCGAGCCCCCUCCCUGCUGCGGCAGGUUCUUCCUUAACUCCGGCGAGCCCCCACCCCCUGAAAAUCAACUGACCCAAAAGUCGAUUCAGUCGACUAAAGUGCAGCUAAAUCAGAGCAGCAUCGAAAGCAAGAGAAAGAGCGAGAGCUCCAGCUUGAGCAAGACCAAGAGAAAGAGCAGACUAGGCAGGGGAUCGAGAGCAAGAGUAGAGUAGCAGCGCGAGCGAGAGCUAAAGUAGCAGCUUUUACUGAUGUGGACAUCGCCACCGAGGGAGCGACAUCGUGGAGGAAGUGGCCGGCGACGCCGCCAUGGAUGGAGUCGCGCCGUGUCGGCUUGGGACCGAGCGCCGGCAGCACCGAGAGAUUGAAUCAAGAAGAAAAUGCGGCGAUUAGUGUACAACCUCUUUGGUGGCGCCGAUUAGGCCGAAGCUUCAUUGUAGGAAACAAUGAUGAUGCUACUCUUCCGGUGGUGCAGGUGAAGACGUUGGUGUGGGAAUGGAGGUGGCACGAAAAAUGAGGGGAACGUCGGGGCAGCUCCUUGGAGGUGGAGGACGGGAUGGCUGAACCGGCGGGCGACGAGAUCGACGACGGAUCCUCAUCCAGUACGGUGGAUGAGGGACAUCGAGGUGUUGCUGUGGACGACGUCAUCGGGGAAGAGGCUCCGGCUGGGUGGCGAACAGAGGAGGGUGUUGGGCUUCGCGAGUUUUCACGGCCUCGGUGUACGAAUGGGUGGGUGGAUGGGAUGGGAGUGUGGAAGCAUGGCUUAGGGACGUGCUUGUCCGAAAUGUGGGGUAAGUUAUGAAAGAACCCCCACCGAUUAGAGGCGGUUCUUUCGGUUCAGGGUUAUCACGGGCAUUUUGCGUGUCGGGAUAUCACAGGAGGUGGGAGUUUUCGUGCGCGUUGUAAUUUUGGAAUAGCAAGGCGCGGGUUGAGAUGGAGGGAGUUGUCGGAGCACAACGAGACAAAGAUAUAUCUUAAAUAUUUUGGGGUAACAAGGCGCAGUUGAAGAGGCGGGAGUUUCGCAGCACGAUAGACAGAGACGCUAGCUCGAAAUUUCGGCAUAACAAGGCGCGACUCGAAAUUUCGGGAGAACAAGCUUAACGUGUACCCAAAAAAUACAAUUCGCACCUCAUCACCAGAGAGAGCCAUGUCCCGUUUUACUAUAUUACUAGAAAUGCAUUCAAAUACAACAAAAAACUAAAAAAAUCGGGACAACAAACAUAACAUGUACAGUACCAAAACAAUUUGCACUUCCCUCAACAAUAAAAAAAUAAUGUGUGUUGUCUAGCAUAUGGACUAAAUUUGAGUACAUUUUCCCUGUUUGAAUGGGAUUGUACUCGGGUUAGUUAUACAACCAUCUAAAUAUUAUCUUCACAACACAUGACAUGAAUAUAGGAGAAGUAAAUUCCUAUAUAAAUAUGAACUACAUGUACAUACGAUCUCAAAUUCAAAUAAAUGUAUCCAUUUUGUGUUGAAUUCAAAUCAUAGUACAUGUAUGCUCUCGCUAGAUGUUUGGAAUCUAAACCAUGUAUGAUAUACCACGUACAAUGUGUUUAACAUGCACAACACACACACAAACACCAUUUAGACUAGUAAGGUACAUGUGAAUUGCACGCAUGAGAUUUGGCAACCAAAUUAUGAAUAAAUACCACAUUAUAGCAUGUAAGCUUUGAGUCAUAUAUGCAUGAUGUAGAUGUUCGUUUAAUUCUUAUAGUUCAUUUCAUUCAAAAUCAUCUAGUUUUUAUAAGAAAGCUAAUCCAUUUGAAGAUUCAUGGAAUUGUGCGUUGUAAGGCAUAAAGUAAAAACAAAUAAUGGCAAAUCAUGUAGAAAAACAUUUGGGAAAUUCUGAUACAGAAGAUUCUAUAACAAAGAAGAAGUGCUUCUGUUUUGAGGUUUGUGCAUUAUGCUUAAGUUCAACCAUGGAGUCUUCUAGACUGUACAUGUGGCGAAAUCUAGUGGAAUCUAGAUGAUAUCCAACGGCCAGUAGUGCUCAAAUUUCCCAUCUCUGCACCAUCGGAUUGGCCUCAUCCAAUGACCAUCUUUCAAAGUUAAAGUUAUCCGCACACUAUAUAAAAAAUAUAAAAUAUAAUAUAUAUAUAGGGGUAUAUAUAUAGAUAUGUGAUGCGAAAGCCACCCAUCAUCUCCAAUUAGAAUAGUGUGUCCAUGCAUGGAUGCAAUGUGGCCAAACAAUGUCUACUAUCGGUAUCUCAAAUUCAAAUCAGUCCGACCUUGUUCAAUGUGUAUACAUUACAACAUGCUCAUUUCCAAACCACACCGCACAGAUCUCCGUUAUAUUCAUGCAUGCAUGGGUUUCAAACAUCAUGAUCUCUUAUUCAAAUAUUUGACUUCAACUUUACAUUGAUUAUGACCUCACCUAGUCUUUUACACCCACACAAUCGUCUUCUCUUUAUAAUUGUACCACUAAGUUUCUCCCGUGCAUGCAUACACACACACUACCAGUCGGCAUUAUCCAUCACACACAUGCAAUCUUUUCUUCAGGCCGGUCUCCCAUGCAGGCACACACACACACACCUCCCCUUGUCCAUCAUAUCGAGCAUUCUUUAUCUCUCACGUGCAUGUGCAACGACCGAUGUUCCUCUAUGUGUGUGUGUAUAUAGCUAGGUCUUUCACAGUUUUCCACACAAACCGAUCAAUCUCUAUAUCUAGUGAGGUCGCACCCUCUUUCCCACGUCCACACCGAUCAAUCUGUACCUCUCUAUAUAGGAUUACAUAUAUAGCUAAUACACCCACAUUAAUUAUAUAUCCAACGCCCCCCUCUCAUCAUCCAUGCCUUCCACUUCAUCUCUCAGACACGCGCACAAUGGCGAAGACAGGGGGCAGCAAGGGCACUGCCCCCCUAACAUCACUAUAUAUCAAGGCUAAUAUGAAUGUGAUCAUUAGACAAUUGCUGGUAAAAUGGUUUAAGUUGAUGAAUUGACCCCCCUCGUAAAGGAUUAGCAAUGCUUGGCCCCCUAGCUCAUUUAUUUUUCAUGGCUUCGCCACUGCGCGCAACAGCGCACGUUCUCACCCCCUGAGGGAGUCCUGGAUUAGGGGGUCCUCAGACAGCCGGACUAUAUACUUUGGCCGGACUGUUGGACUAUGAAGAUACAAGAUUGAAGACUUCGUCCCGUGUCUUGGUGGGACUCUCCAUUGCGUGGAAGGCAAGCUUGGCAAUCCGGAUAUGUAGAUCUGUAGGAUCGAAAGUAUGUCUAGAGGGGGGGUGAUUAGACUACUUGACAAUAUAAAAAUUAUGCCUUUUGAUAAAGACAAGUUUUUGGCAGAUUCACAAUUAUGAUCAAGUCAAGCAUCACCCUACACAUGCAAUUCUAGAGUAUAGGCAGCGGAAAGUAAAUUGCACAUGUAGUAAAGAGAGGUGGAGAAGAGCAAACGCAAUUUUGGAGACGCGGUGAUUUUUCUCGUGGUUCCGAUAGGUGGUGCUAUCGUACUUCCACGUUGAUGGAGACUUCAACCCACGGAGGGUAACGGCUGCGAGAGUCCACGGAGGGCUCCACCCACGAAGGGUCCAUGAAGAAGCAACCUUGUCUAUGCCAUCAUGGCCUACGCCCACGGAGGGCUAGCCUUACUCGGGGUAGAUCUUCACGAAGUAGGCGAUCUCCUUGCCCUUACAAACUUCUUGGUUCAACUCCACAUCUCGACGGAGGCUCCCAAGCGACACCUAACCAAUCUAGGAGGCACCACCCUCCAAAAGGUAAUAGAUGGUGUUGAUGAUGAUGAACUCCUUGCUCUUGUGCUUCAAAUGAUAAUCUCCCCAACACUCAACUCUCCUCACUGAUUUGGCUGUGGUGGAAGAAAGGAUUGAGUGGAAAGCAACUUGGGAAGGCUAGAGAUCAAGCUUCAUAUGGUGGGAGUGGAGAAACUUGAUCUCAACACAAGGGUAGGUAGUUCUCUUCUCAGAAAUGUAAGGUAGGAGUGGUAGUUCUUUCUGAUGGCUCUCUCCAUGAAUGAAGAGGGGGUGGAGGGGUAUUUAUAGCCUCCACACAAAAUCCAACCGUUACACACAUUUGACCAAUCUCGGUGGGACCGAAGUUGACAACUCGGUGAGACCGAAAGUUCAAAUCAUGUGAACGUUAGGAUUUUUGGUGGGACCGAAAAUACAAUCUCGGUUUGUCCGAUUCGUGCAAAGACAGGAGCUUGCCAAUCUCGGUGGGACCGACUUCAUCAUCUCGGUGACACCGAUUUGAUGACAGAAGGUUACAGAAGCUUGGCAACUCAAGUUUCGGUGAGACCGAGUUCAGAAUCGGAAAAUCCGAGUUUUCUAGGGUUUGGCUUUAUGGCUGAAGUGGUUCAUCUCGGUGUGACUGAGUUUGGAAUAUCGGUGGGACCGAGAUUACUUAUGAGUGUAUAUGGCAGUGAAAGUUGCUGAUAGUUUAGGAGAUGUAUCACUAAGCACUUUGAGCAACCAGAUCAUCAUCAUAACCUCAUCCCCUUUUAAUAGUAUUGGCUUUCCUAUGGACUCAAUGUGAUCUUGGAUCACUAAACCAAAAAUGGAGUCUUGAGCUUUUGCCAAUGCUUGCCUUAGCAUUUUGAGGGGUCCACUUCUUCAGUCCUUGCCAUACCCAUAUCACUGAACUUUCUGAAAUGAUUCUCAAGAAACUAUUAGUUCAAUGAUAUAUAUGUUGUUAUUAAUUACCAAAACCACCUGGGGAUUAGUUGCACUUUCAAUCUCCCCCUUUUUGGUAAUUGAUGACAACAUAUAGAUCAAAGCUUCGACAAAGGAUAUAAUCAAUGAAUAAUAUCGUCGCUUUGAGAAGUAUGUGAUAAGCAAGAGCUCCCCUAAAUUUGUGCAUUAUUUAAGAUUUGCGUUUGAAUGCAAAUGCACAAUCGAUUAGGAUCAUGGGUCACUCUUCCAUGUCACAUACAUCUUGGUGGAGCGCACAAAAUGAUAAGAAUGAACAGCAUGCACCCAAUCACCAAGACAUGAGUAAGUGGUCAUACAAGAUAGGAAUAGCAUAUGAUAAGCAUUAAGCACACAUUAAAGCAUAGUACGACCAAGCACUCAUUAAGGUAGGAUCAAACAUAGUAUCAAACACACUGAAUGUCUCGAAAACCAAAAGUAUCUCAAAGAAACCGCAAAUGAACGAAAGAGCAAAAGCGCACUCUCUCUCUCUCGAAGUCCUAUGAUCUAUACAAUUUCUCCCCCUUUGGCAACAAGUUACCAAAAAGUUCGAAACAGCAUAGAGCUAAGCGUCACUGGGGACUCUGCUGGCGGCUCCUGUCUGGGUUGAUGUUGGAGUGGAUAUGACAGCAUCGGCGAAGUCUUCAGCUGAUGUCUGUGCUGGAGGAGUGGUCACUGGAGCUGGAGUUGGAGCAACUGAUGGAACUGUGGGAGGUGCUGAAGCUGUAGUCCUGGUGUCUGUCACUGGAAUAGCAGCUGAUCGAGGUCCUGUGGGAACCGGAGCAGUCUGUUGAUAAGCAUCCUGGACUAAGUCAUCCUGCAUCUCACGCAUAAGCUCUUCCUUCUCCCUCUUUGCUUCCUCAAUGUCUGCCUCAAGCUUGUUGACAGUUACUUGCACUUCAGUCAGCUUCACGUCCAGAGCGUGGAUCUUGUCUUCAACAAUCCUCUCUAGGCUCUCCUGAGACUGUACAAUGCUGGCCAGGCAUUGUUCAAUCCUUUGGGUAGCUUCAAGGAGCUGCUCUCCGACACUCUUUGGUUUAGCUGCUGCUGCUGCUGCUUCCUUGUCAGCUUUGGCUUUCUUGGCAGCUUCAAUCUUGGCUUGACCUUCAACUGAUGUUGGAUCCUCCUCAUCCAUCACAACAACAUUAUCCUCAUGCUCAGGCUGCAGUGGUAGGUGUUCUCUAUCCAACAAGAAUGUGCCCGUGCCAAACUUGGCAUUGAUAAGCAUCUGAAUCUGCGGGGCAAAUCCACACGACCUUUUCUGGUCAGCUGCAGUCCUCUUAAUGGUCUCAACCAUCAAGUCCAUCACCUUGAAAGGUGCUUUCUCAUCAAGUAUAUGCAGCAUGUUGAUAGAGUAUCCUCUGAUCAUGCGAUGAUCUCCAGACUUGGGCAUCAAGGUAUGCCUCAGAAUAGUAUUAGUGGUAGGUAGACCUGCCUGGAGAUAGUACACUGAGCCGAGCUUCCAGAUUCCCAAAUCCUUAGCUGGAACCUCUUUGUACAUGUUCUUCAUGGAUUCAUGAUUCUUCUUUGGAAUCCCAUAAACAUCAAUAUCAUCCUCUCUUUGCACUGGAGCAUUCAGAAGUUCUGCCCAUUCUUCAACAGAAGAAGAAAAUCUUUGGCCUUCAGUCAUCCAUGUAAUCUCUCCAUCUGGAUAGAAAUGAGCUGUGGCAUAGAAUUGCAUAAUCAUCUCAUCGUUCCAAUUUGUCAACUUCUGACCUACAAAGUCUGCAACACCACAUGCAGUGAAACUUUCAUGCACAUGUGGAAAGAAGUCUCUGUGCUCUUCGCUGUCAAUGUAUUUCCAGUCAACAUAUCUUGUGUCUGCGACUAUGGGCUUCUUAUCCAUCAGCACAGUCUCAUAGAAGUCCUACUGCUCUCUGGUGUGAAAUCUGGGAUCAACAGCAGUUCUUCUCCUCACGGCAUAUGGGUCAGACUGUCUCCAUAGCCUGAGACCUCUAUCUUUCCUUGCCUUCAUAUCCUCAGCUUGAGGAUGAGCAUCAUUGUGAAGUGGCAGUUUCUGACGAAGUUUCAGCAAAACUGGUCCUUCAAUAUCUGACACAGCUGGUGGCACAUCAUCCUUGUUCUUUUCAGAUGCUGGAAUGUUCCUGACUGUCUUCUUUGGCUUAGCAGCAGGCUUUGCUGGAGCUGCCUUGACUGGAGCAGAUUGCUUGGGCUUUGAGGUGGCUCCAGCCCUGAUGGCAUCACCCAUGAGCUUAGGCUUCUGAGGAGGCUGGGGUGCUUCCUCAUCCUCAUCUUCCUCUGCUGCAUCAUCAUGCACUAACCUCUUUCUCUUGGAAGUUUUCUUCACUUUGCUUGCAGCUUCUUCCAAAUUCAGCUUCUUAGCAACAGUUGAUUCCUUCACUUUUCUGGUGCCCUUCUUAGUUUGCUGACCUUGUGGCUCUUUGGCAACAACUUUCCUCUUGGGAUUUGAUGUGACCUCUUCCUCAAUGACAAAAUCUGAGUCUUCAUCAUUUGAGUUCCUCUUCUUUCUGGCCCUGGUGGCUGCAGGAGGCAAACCACUUGGUGUACUCCUCUCACCAUCAUCUGAUGAGCUGCUGGGAUCAGGACUAGUGCCUGCCUCUGGAAUAUCUGCUAUAGGUGACCCUGAUCUGUUCUGACUGUCACUGGCAUCUGACAUGGCUGACAACCUGUGAAUAGAUAAGGUGUAGGCAGAGUAGAAGAGUUAUCACAAACUGCAGAAGUUUUUGCAAACAAAAUGAGUUCAAAUUUUAGUAUUGGGUUUUCACAGAAGACGUUUCGGUCAGACCGAGUUUAAAAUUCGGUGAAUCCGAAGUGUUUAAACAGAAGCUUUCACACCACUUUCGGUUGGACCGAAGUGGGUUUUGGUCCUGCCGAAAACACUAGGGUUUCACAGAAUCGUCAUUUCGGUCACACCGAUUUGCACAACUCGGUUGGACCGAAAGGUGCAGUGCAAUGGCCAUAGGCCAAAUCGGUCAUACCGAAAAUGUAAAAUUGGUCUCACCGAGAUGUGUUCGGCGGAAACCUAACCCUAAAACUUUUACUCGAAUCUAGUUCAAACGAACUAAUCUGGUGUACAGGAAGAUUUCAAUCGUGGCAAGAUACUAGGCAAACCAAACGUGCAUUGAAUCGGAGAUGGGAGCACGAGUGGGAUCAGAACUCACCCUAACUUGGUGGAGUUUCUCUACGGCGGCAACGGCGCGGAGAAGAUGUCCGUUAACGGCGACGGAGACCUGCGGCGAGGGCGCACAGGUGACGACGGAGACGAUCCGGAGACCAAGGCGACGGCAGCAAGGGGUGUGGGGGCGAAGCGUUUGAAGGAGAAAUCAACGCGCGCGGCCCUCGGAGUAUAUAUAUACCCCUUUGCUGUCGGUGGGACCGAGUUGUAAAACUCGGUGGCACCGAGAUGGAUAACUGCAGGGCAGUUAUGCACUUCGGUCACGCCGAAAAUCACAACUCGGUUUCACCGAGGUGAAAACCUAGAUCAAUCUAAAUGUUUUCGGUUUGACCGAAUUUGAGUGAGUUGGUCUGACCGAAAUCACUUAGAAGGUUUUGGAAGUUAGCCUUUGACGGAUCGGUGGCUCCGAGUGCUCCUCACUCGGAGGGUCCGAAAAUGACUUGUUCAAAGUUUGUGAUGUAAGCAUGAAUAGAAUUUGAGACAAGAAAGCAUAGAUAGCUAGGGGAGGUACUUAGGCAUUCUUGUUCAUCCAUUUGGUCGAAAGAAAAAUCAAAACAACCAAAACAACAAAUGGAUGUCCUUGAAUGGAUAAAAUCAUGCAUCCAACAUGCUCACACAAUAAGAUAGCAAAUGAAAUAUGUGUCAAACAUGCACAAUCAAAAACUCUAGCAACUAACACACAAUUUGUCGAUGACUAGGUCAUCUUUAUAUGAGUAUAUUGACUUAGGAGCCAAAUGAGAACAUUUGAUCAUAGGUCAUACUCAUCGUUUAAGCACAAGUGGGGUUACCACUUUUACAUAAAGCAUUAAUGUGUUCACAUCAUUUGAAGAUGCUUUAGCUCAAUUUUUUAGAGCAAAGCUCCCCUAGAUGUGAGAACCCCUUUUAAAGGGUCAAACUAACCUUGGGUUGUCGUAGAAGACUUCAUGUAGAUGUUGAAGAUGUGGAUGCUCAAUGUUGAUGAAGAUCAUCAAGAGUUGGGAGCAAUCCUUUGGAUUCGGGCACUUUCAAUACCUACAUGGGUUAGUCCCACAAGGAACAAACAAGGAUAUCCAUGGACAUAGAUUGAAGUUCACAAUAGAUGAUGUCCAUGAAAGCAAUGAUUACCUUGUCCCUUGACUUACCAACAAGAGGGUUUGUGACUCCAUGAACUAGUGCACAAUGUGGAAGUUGGUUGCACAAGUUCUUGCCAAAAUGAAUGUGAGUGAAGUAUGUUGGCGGAGUCACCCUCAAGAACUCUCUAGUUCUUCUUCUUCGGGACCCACAUCAUCUUGAUGGGAAUCCUUGGGGUUGUAGUUGAGCUUGACGAAGUAGAACUUGACGUUUCCUUGGGAACCCACUUGACCAUGGCUUGAGGUGCUUCAAUAAAUGCAUCAAUCUCCUCUUGAAGCUUGUCCUUGCCUUUUAGCUUGUGGUCUUGUGGUGGAAGGUCAUCUUGUGCUUGUUCCACAUUGGAAGAAGUAGGAUCAUACUUCUCCUUUUGAAGAACAAACUGUGGAGUAGGAUAUUGACCUUCUUCCCAUUCAACACCCUCGGCGUUGAACUUUCGCUCAAAACCAAUUCCUUGAUUCUUCCGGUGCCUUCCUU